Molecule: long non-coding RNA, 55295 nt
Filed under: Vitis vinifera (wine grape)
Lineage: Eukaryota; Viridiplantae; Streptophyta; Magnoliopsida; Vitales; Vitaceae
Description: long non-coding RNA (VVIN_LNC000168)
Source: RNAcentral
AAUAAAGUGGUAGUAUUUUUGAAAAAUUUUCUUAACCAAAUUCAAAUUAUAAGAAUUUAAUAUAAUAAUGAAACAACAAAGAGAUAUAGAGAGAAAGAAUGUAAAUACAAUUUAAUGCGAUUCAAAGCAAUCUUGCCUAAAUCCAUGAUCCUCAAGCUCUGUCAAUCCUUAAGGUUGCUCCACUAGCACAAAGAUCCUUUAAAAGCAACGUUCUUUUCAAGUAUAAUUAGUUUCAAAGGCACCAAUCAACCUUUACAAGAUCAUCCAAGUGAGUAAUAUUUACUCAAUUACUCUCUCUCAUAAUAUACUUCCAAUAAAUGAGAAAGAUAUAAAAGCUAACUUGAACAAUGAGAAUUACAAGUAAAAGUAGAUAAAUGUACAAUCAAUGAGGAUAUGCAAGUUAGGUAAUAAUUACACUAAUGGUAUAUUUAAGGCUCAAAAUGCUUGACAAGAACGAUUUUUAAGAGUUAUGUAAGUUAUAAAUAAGAUCUAAAAGUCUUUAUAUUAACAAUGUGCAAAAAAUAAUCAUUAGAUAGAAAUCUUGCUCAAUCAAUCAAUUAGUCGAUUGACCAUCUAAAUAGCCUCAAAUAGUUACUUCACCCUACAAGUGAUCUUAAUAUGGCAAAUAGAUAUAGUGGUCAACCGCCCAAUCCACUCUUUGGUCUUUUAAAGCCUUGUUCACAAGUCACUACCAAAGGGGAUGAUUUUGGAGGAAUGCAACACUAUAAUCUGACCUAUUACUUGAUUGAUCACCUAGACUAUAAUUUUCUAAAAGCCAACCCUUUGAGAGUCCUAAAUAGAUUUACGUUGUAUAUUAUUGGUUCUUGCAAUAUUUUGAAUACCUUAUUAAAAGCGUCUCAAGUUUUCUUGAAAUAAAGAUCAUUGUCUAUAUUUUGAGAAAAUUAUUUAUUAAAGGUUCCUAAAAAAAUUAACUUUACCAGGGAAAAUUUAAAAGAUAAUAUGCAAUUUUUAUUUAAGCUUUUUCAUUCUCCAUCAUUACUUUUUCUUUUUUUUUCUUAAAAAUGUACAUAAAUGUACUUGAAAUGUAAUAAUCUACAUUCACUUGAUGAAAUUGAUUACAUACAUAUCAUUCCUUUUUUAUUAUAAAAGAACUUUACACUAGUAAUUUCCCCCUUUUUAUAAUAACAAAAUUAGGGAUAUUAUAUAUAAUUUGUGUUUCCCCUAAAUACAUGCAACCUAUGGAACAAAAUAAUUUCAACAAGUGUCAAAAAGUGAUGUUCCAAACGUAUCUUUAAUAUAAUAGUAUAACCUAAAUAUCAAACAAUAAAUGAUCUGUGAAACCAUAAUCAUAACAUAGUCAUAUCAUGAAUUAUAGAAAAUGUCCAAACAUGGAUAAUCAUCACAAUGUAAAAUGAGGCACAAAAAAAAAAUUCAUAGUCUAUCACACAUCACAUAUAACCAAAAUACCUAAAUAUAACCAACUAAAAUACCAAUCAUAAGUGAAAACACAAACAUAAACAUGUCUAGAAAGCAUAAGCAUAAAUAUGUCUAAUGCAUAUAUUUUCCCUUUUGGCAUCCUCGAAAACAUGGUAGAAUGAACCUAAGGGAGAAAGGAAACAAGGCAAGUCAUAGCUAAAGAGGUGGUGAAGAUGGGAAAUAUUGGUAAAUGAGCUAGAAAACUUCUUGAUGUGGGGCCUUACAAUGGGUUAGUUGGUUGCACCCAUUUGCAUAAUAGCUACUUGUUAAUUAGUCCUACUCUACCUAAUCUAAGCAUGAAAGUUAGCAAGUUAGAAGACCAUGAACUAGAGCUAUGAGGGUUGUCGAAAGCUUAACUUCUCCAUAUGAUUACCCAAUGCAUUAACCAACAUGGAAAGUGAAAGGAAUUAUGAUUAGGCACUAGUUUGCAACAAACCUACUCAAAUAUCUUAGUAUUUAUAGAGGACAUCUCCUAGAAAUUAGUAUAUUAUCCUUAUUAUAGAAGACUGACCUCUUGCUCCAUAGGCUUUCCUAUUAGCUCCAUUUGUACAAACUUUUCUUCCUCUUAAAUAGCCUCAUAGUGUAGCUCUUUUCUUGAAAUAAUAGGUGUUUGUUCAUUUGUUUUCUUAACUUAACCCUCUAGUUUUGGUAUCCACAAAACAUAAGGAAGCUCUUUAUAAUGCAUCCAUGUUAGGGUAAUCUUGUAAUAGGUAUCAUAAAGGGUCAUGUAUACUACUACAAGCCCAUUUCUCAUAUUCAUAUGAAAAGCCUUUAGUAUCUUUUUAUUGAACAUUCCAUAGGGCAGUGCAUAAGUCUUACUACUACAAUGUGCCUUCAUGAAUUGCAAAAUAUUACAACAAAUAUUUAUAUUUCUCUUCUUCAAUAUACUUCCAACUAAAAAGGCUUCUAAAAAUGAAACAUCAUCAUGGGAUUUUUUUUUAUGAAUGAAAAUAUAACCAACCAUAUUUAGGAAUGAGAUAAAAGCUAAUCAUACGGUGUACAAGUUACAUCUAAGAAUGAGAUCUUUGGCAAAGGGCUUGAAAGCAUAUUAUAAUAUGCAAAAUAAUGUAUGUAUAAUUUAGGACUCGAACACUUUUCAUUUAACUAUUUUCUAGCUUCUCCAACCAACAACCUAGAUCAUUAAAUUUGCCAAUUUGAUUAUUUAUCAAAAUGGUUGGAACAUCUAUAGAGUCUACAAAUUUUUUGCUAGACUAUAAUUGUUUUCUUUGAUUUCUAGUGAUAAGAAUCUCAUUUUUAUCCCAAGUAAAAUACUUUAUUUGAUUACAAAAAUGAAAAUUGGUAUUUAAGAAACUUUCUCAGUUUUUAAAUCGAAAACAAUGUCCAUGUCCAUCUUUAUAAUGUUUUCCAUUUUUUAAGUCUAUGCUCUUUUGAAUAUGUAAAUCUUUUCAAAAAUUGGCAAUCCACACGCAACCUGGAGACAUGAGAAAGAAAGGCCAACACAUAGCAACUCUCCUCACUAGUAGCAUGUAUCAAGAAGCAACACGCACCAGAGGUUUUCAAGUGAGAAUACGCAUUGUUGUAGGUUGCAAAUUCCAUUGGGGAAACACGUUCAAUAGCAACAUAAAUAUGCAAGUUUUUAAGAUUGUUAACUUUAAUUUUUUAUCGACCCCUUUUAAUAAGUUUAUAAUUUUUUAGAGUUUUUAUUUUUUUAAUUUAACCUCAUCAUCAUAUUCAUGUUUUCAAGUUGUUAUGUUUAAAUUGUAAUUAAUCCCGUUUAAUCAAUGUGCUUUAGAAUUUUAGUUUUUUUUAGUUUAAUUAAUUCCACAUCGUUAUGUUCAUUUUUUUAAGUUGUUAAAUUUAGUUUUUGAUCAAUCUCGUUUAGUUUAGAAGCUUUCAUAAUUUUUAGUUCAUUAGUAAAAUUGUCUCCAUGUUAUAAAGUUCUAUUUUUUAAAUUGAUUUAGUUUACUUUGAUUCAUUUAUUUAGUUUAGAUACUUUUACAAUUUUUAGUUCAUUAAUAAAAUUGUUUCAAUGUGGUAAAGUUCUUGUUUAAAAGUUUGUUUUGAUUUCAUGCUGAUUCAUCUUCUUUUAGUUUAAGUGUUUUUUUUAUAAUUUCUAAUUGAUUUCACGUUAGUAGUUUUUGUUUUAAAAGUCAUUUAUAUUAGCUCUUGAUUGACUUUAUCUUAGUUUAUGUGCUUUUAGAAUCCUAGUGGUUAGUUUAUGAAUUGAUAUCUUGUUAGUUUGUUUAAUUUAAAAUGUUUUGUUUGUUGCUUUAGUAAUCCUUUGUUUAAUUUGUUUUUUAGGCCUUUGGAAAAUUAUGAAGAUUGGACUCAAUUCUCACCAUAUUAUUUAAUUGGUCGUAAAAAAUUUCACUUCAUGAUUUUAAUUUCCUCUGGUUUUCUUGUGCUUGAUCAUUUGGGUUUUGUUAUUAGCAAAUAAAUUUUUUUCUUUUAAAAAGAAAUUUUUCUUUCUCAAAAUAUUCUUACAUAAAAAUCUAUUUCAAAAACCUAUUUAGCGUCCUUAGGAUCAAUUUUUUUUUACAUUUUCUUUUAAGGUAUGCAACCAAAUUUUAUUCAAAUAUAAUUCUAUUUUUUAGUGCAAUACAAAUCUAAGCUUGUGGUCCCAAAUAAAUAGGAUGAUUAUUGGUUUUUUGAGUUUAUCAAUACUCAUACAAGGUUGGAAAUUUAUAAGUUAGAUUUGUGUAUAUCAAAUGGGGAUUUGAUGAAACCUCUACAAAAAAAUUAUUUUUCAAAAACCUUUUAUUGUCAGUUUGUUGGAUUUACCGCAUACCUAACUUGAGAAGCCUCUAAAUUUUUCUUGUGGUUCUAUGGUGUUGUAAAUUUUUUGAAAUUGGUUUUAGAAUUUUGUUUGGGUUUAAAAGCAAUUUUCAAAUUAGAGAUACAAAUUAAUCUUUUGGUGGAUUUUUUUUUUACCCAGUUUUGGACAUCCGAAAUAUUUUUGUCAAAUAAAUUAUUAUUAUUAUUAUAUAUUCUUAAUUCUAAAAUUCUUUAAAUUGAUUUUAGGCACAUUCCAAUUGAGAGAUAUAUUUUUCCCUUACUGCAACCACUGCAUCAUCUUGAUUUUGAAUUGAAGGGCUAUUUGCUUAUUUCUAAAAUUGAUCUAUGUGUUUUUUAACAUUUCCAUUAUUUUUAUUGUAAAUUAGACUUUCUAAACAUGUUGUGUAAUUUUUUAUAUGAUUUUAUCACACUUCUAAAUGGGUUAAAAAAAUUUGGUUAUGCAUGCUUAGAAUUUAAUCCUAUUCUAGACUUUUCUUGAUUUAUUUUUUACAAAUUGGGAUUAUUUAAAGUUUCAAUAAAUUGUUUGGCCAUUUGGUAAUAAGCUAGACAUGUAGGAGAGGUUCCCUAAUUUUUGUUUCAAUUAAGUUCACCUUCUAGAUGAUUUUUUUAGAAUUUGUAUUAUGAAGGCUUCAAUUAUGACUACAUGUUGACAAUUUUGUACAGUGCUUGACUUGUUAAUUAAUCUAUUGUUGAUUGACUAAUCAUCACUUGAUAUUGGCUUUGGUAUUGUAUUAUAAACAUAAAUAAGAUGUUAUGAAAUGCAUGUUUUGCAUCGGUCCCUAAUUUGGUAUUUCUAAAUAUCUUAUACAUUAGUUAACUUUAAUAAUGAGCUUGUAUGCAUAUCCUAGGUGAUAGGUGAUAUUCUUUUGGAUUCUUAUCCUUUUUUUUUUUAAACAUAAAUAUACCAUAUAUAUUAAUAUUUUGAGUCAUAGUUAUUCCUUAUUAUAAUUUUUUUUAACCUCUUUUAGCUAUAUGCAAGCACAUUGUAAGUUAUGUAUGCUAUCCAAGUACAUUCCUCACCUUUUAUCUCUCUAAUUUUGUAAAUAGGCAAGACUUUGAGUGUGGACAUUCUAACAUGUGAUAUUGCCUCAUUAUGCUUUGACUAUUUUUUGGUUUUCUUGAUUGAGAUAGAAUGCACGUUGUAUGUUGUGUUAUUUUUUAAACUAACUUUAAGGUUUUCGUGAAAGCGCUUUGGGAUACGUCUCAAGUACGCUCAUAUUCUUCUCUUGUGAUUAAUUUAUUUAGUAUAUUUAUUUGGAUAUGAAUAAUAUGUUGUUUUUUCUUAGACUUGAUCACCUUUAUUUUCUUUGACAUUCUUGAUUUAUUGAUUAAUCAUCAUGGUUCUCUCAACCUAGUUAGAAGAGACCUGUUAUUUUUAGGGCUCGGAGGGAUGCUAUCUUUAUGGUACAUUCCCAAUAGAUAACAUGAUCUUCGUGCUUAGAGUUGCGUUUUCAAAUACACGUUUUUCUAGAAACUAUGAGUCAUUUUUUUAGGGUUUUAUUUCUAAUUUUAUUUUUCCUUUUAAAAAUAAAUAAAAAUAAGUAGUGACUCCAAUUUUAUAAAAAUUAUUUUUUCACUAAGAAAUCGAGUCUCGCUGUUGAAUAGUGAUGCACGUGAAAAAUGCAAGUCCACAUUAACGUUUCAUAAUUUUUAGUUCAUUCAUUUUAAAGUUUCUAGUAUUUUAUUUUAAGAUUUUAAUCAUGGCUAACUAAGUUUCUAAGUACCAUAAGGGGAGUAAAAUUAAUAUCCAUCCAUAUUUUACUUCAAUCUUCCAAUGUUUUCAAUAGUCUACAAUGUUUGAGGUUGUUACAACAAAUGUUAAGGUUACGUGUCAUAUUAUGUAAUGGUUAACUCCACAUAUGUCAAGGUUUCUAAGUACAUGUGUCAAGGUUUAUAGGUACAUAUGUGAAAGUUUCUAGCUACUACAAAUGGCAUAAAUCAUUUGUCAAGGUUGCCUGUGAAAAAUUUAAUAUAUUUUACUAUAAUUUUUAGUUUUUAAUGAAAAAAAAAAUUGUUUCCAAAGUAUACCUAUUUAAUUGUGAUAAUAACAAUUAAAUCUUAAAACAAUGUAAAUAAACUAAUAUCAAGGCAAAAAAAUCAUUAUAUAUACAUUUGAAUAUUAAAAAUACAAUUCCAUAAAUCUUUUUCCAAUUAUUCUCUAUUUUCUAUAUAUCAACAAAACCUAAUUAAAAACAUACAAUUAGGAUAAUAUACAAACUUAAAUUGAAAAGUACAAUAUUAUCUUCAUAAGAGGUGGUUUUUGUUUCUUCAUCAUCAUCUUCUUCUUGCUAUAUUUCUUGGAUACCUAGUAGGAUAUAAACAUAACUAUGGAUCCCGCAUUUUGCACGAUGCGUUCCCACUCGAUGGCAAACUCGCUUUUUAUUUGAAAAAUGAUUUAUUUAUUAAGAAAAUGACUUGGAGUCACCACUUAUUUUUGUUUUAUUUUUAAAAGGUAAACAAAAUAAGAAAAAAAAAACCCUAAGUGUGACUCCUUAUUUGGAAAAAGUGGUUUGCGAAAAACCAAAUCGGGGCUCGAGAGUCAGGUUACUUAUUGGGAAGGUACGGUAAAGACCGUAGCACCCCUCUAAGUCCCUAAAAAUGGGUCUCUACUAAUAAAAUGAAGCAUGUUUGAUAAUUGGUUGAUUAAAUGUGGAUACCAAAAGAUGAUCAUAUACUAGGAGCCAAAACAAAGCGUAGAGAAUGGUCAGAGUGAGAGCGGGUGCUUACCUUGGUAGCAAGCGAAUAAUGCGCUAUCAUGAAAUGGGGUUAGUGCACAAGAAUGAACGUAAAAUAUAUCACAUGCAUCACCAAACAGAAUAUGAAAUCACCUAUGGCACACAUGACAUUUCACUCAAGUUCAUUUUUAUUUUAAGUAAAACUUCUUUGAUGUUGGGCUUCCCACCAAAGCCCAAUUUAUCUUGCAUGAAUUGGUCUAACAAAUUUCAUUAUUUCAGAAUUAUGAAAAAUUCAUUCUUACUUAUGUAAAAUCAAGAAAAACAUAAGGUUAUUUAAAAACCAGAGUAGAAUUAAAACUGUUAGAGAGAAAACUGGAUUUUUGAAAAUUAUUUGAAAAUUGGAAUCUUGGGAAUUAAAUUUUAGAAUUGGAAUUUUGGAAAUUAAAUUUGAAAGAAAUUGAAAAUUUUAAAAUUAUUUGAGCAUUAGAGUUUUGAAAAUUAAACUAAGGCAUUGGAACUUUAGAAAUUAAACUUGAGAGAAAUUAGCAAAUUAUUUGAGAAUUAGAGUUUCGAAAAUUAAAUUUAAGAAUUGGAAUUUUGGAGAUUAAAUUGGAAAGAAAUUAGAAUUUUGAAAAUUAUUUGAGAAGUAGAAACUAUGAAAAUUAAAUUAUAAAAAUUGGAAUCUUGGAAAUUAUUUGAAGGUGAAAUUUUUAAAAAUAAAUAAAUAUAAUGAUAAUAAUAAUAAGAAUAAUAAUAAUAAUAAUAAUAAUAAUAAAUAAAUAAAUAAAUGUUCGGAAUUUUGAAAAUUUGUUUAAGGAUUGAAUUUUUAAAAUAAAUAAAUAAAUAAAUAAAAUAAUAAUAAUAACGAAAAUAAUAAUUAAAUAAAUGAACGCGAAUAUUGGAAUUUUUGAAAUUGAAAAUUAAAUUCGAAAAUCGAAAUUUUGAAAAUUUGUUUAAGGAUGAAAUUUUAAAAUAAAUAAAUAAAGUAAUAAUGAUAACGGAAAUAAAAGUGUUGAAACAAAUAAAUGUAAUAAUUGGAAUCUUUGGAAAUUAAUUUGGGAUAUCGAAAAAUUUGAGGGAAUAAUAAAUAAAAUAAUGAAAUGGAUAAAAUAAAAAAAAGUGCAGUGGUCAACAUUGCAAGCCUGAAGGUGGCUAUGCAACGUGUGGGCCGGGAUGGAAUAUCUUAUAAUAUAAUAAUAAUAAUAAUAAAACAAUCUCAACCUUACAUAUUUUAAUACUGUUUAUACGUAAAAUUUCAUCACCACUAUGCAACAAUAAAUCUUAAAAUAACAAAGUUAGUGAACUUUGGAAAAUCUUAUAACAUAAUAGUAAUAAUAAUAAUAAUAAUAUAAUAAAAGACAAUCACACACCUCAAAGAAUUGGUAAUGAUUUAUCAAUUUAAGGAUGGUUGUGCCUGAGGCUAGCGAGAACAUAUGACUGCUUCUCUUGUGUGUGUUGGAGAUGCCUCAAAGUGGGUGCCACUAAGAGUUGACCGUCUAACCUGUAUUUCAUUACAUGAGCAUGAAGGGAUUUACCAUACCAGUAGAGUCCUCACAACAGGGAAUAAUGGACACAAAAGUGACCACAUUUGGCUGCAUAUUGGCUUGGAGCAUUUACUGGAACAUUUUAAAGGCUUCACUAGACUUCUGAUUCUGACCGUAGGUAGGGAUCAUAGAGUUCCAGAUAACAACAUUCUUUUCUGCUGUAGAAUCAAACAAGUCUCCAGCAAUAAACAAAUUCCCACCACCAGCAUACAUUGAAAUUAAAGCAGGUGCCAAAAAUUCAUCCGAAGAAAAUCCAGAUUUUACAACGAAGCCAUGGAUAGACUUCCCAAUAUCAAGACAUUUCAUUCGAGUGCACAACGGAAUUAUGCUGGCAAAAGUGCUCACAUUGGGUUUCAAACCCAUCACAUGAAUUUAACUCAAAACCUCAAAGGCCUCUUUAUCAAACCCAUUCAAAGAAUAACGAGAUAUUAAAGCAUUCCAGUCACCAAGUAUGGUUGAGAAAUCUUAUCAAGCGUCAAACGUGCCUUCACCAUGCGACUAGUGUUUUUUUUUUUUUUUUUUGCGUAAAAAUCAACUAAAGCAAUUUGUAUAACAAGAUUUUCUUCAAACCCAGUUCUCAAAACAACACAAUGAACCCAUUCCGCACCUAGACCACCAGAAUCAGCAGUCUGAAGCUCGGGAAGCUGUUUUCAGGUAAAGACUUGCUUGGCUCUCCCGCUCCACUUUCUUGCUCUUCAUUUUUCUCUCAAUCUCCUUCAUGCUCUACUUUCGCUCCCCGAAAAAUUCCAUCCAGAAAACUCCUCCCUCAGUUUUUCCUUCUUCCUAAUCCCAAAAAAAUCGCCAACCAACUCUGUUUCCUCUGUUUCUCCUCUUCUCCAAAAAAUCUCUCUGGUGGACCGUUCUCCCCCUCCUUGUUUGGUCUGUCUCUUUUUUUUUCUUUUUCCCAUGUCCCCUGUUCUAGCCAUCCCUUCUGUUCCAAGACAUCCCUCUCAUCUCCUAGCUGUAUUUUUAUCUCCCCAGCUCUCUGUUUUCUCUCCCAAAAUCCCCAUCCGUAAAGCUCCCCCCAGCUGGUUUCUGAGUUUUUCCUCCUCCCUCACAGCUCCUCCUACAGCUCUAGAAAUAUCUCAUCAUUUCUGUCCAACUACUCUACUGUUCCAUGUUCAGCCAAAGGUCUCCAUCCCAACCACCAUUGUUGAGGCCUUACGACGCUGGUGAUCCACGUAGUUGCCCAAUGGAUGGACGCACGAUCUCAACUAAUACAAGUUUUUGAUUCAGUAGUUCCACCUGCAAAAGGCGUCCGGACGGGGUGUCCGGACGCACCUUCUGAUGGUUUUGUUAGUCAUCGUCAGAGAGAGGGAAAUAAAUCAGUUGGCCUUUUACUAGGUACAGCCAACUUACCUUGUCUUUGUUUGUGAAGGCUUUAUAUAUAUAGUUCCAGAAGCACUGUUCCCCUCAUUAAUGGUGGGAAGAUAUUUUGUGUUGUCAUGAUGACACUAGGAGGUGGCAGGGCCAUCAUCACCCUACGGGCGGUUGAUAGAGAUCGUGGUAUGUGAUGCGGCUGUCAGAGAUCGUGGUAGAUGAUCAUGUGAAAUGAUCGUGGGAAGUGACUUGUUGUCACUUCAUCUUGUCCUCUCAUUCUGCAGAUGGCAAGAUGUGGGUCAUGGCAGGCUGUUGUGAUAACGUGUAAGACUUGCUUUACUUCAGUCAAUGACCCGGACAUCAUAUCCGGAUGACCUAUGUUGGUCAUUCAGAUGCAUUGUGAAAGUCGUUCGGAUGUCUAUGUUUAUAAGUGUCGUUUGAACUUCCUUGAGGCAAUCCGGAUAUGAGGGGCGCAUCACGUGUAUCCAGAUGAGGUGAUCCGGAUGGUGUUUAGCCAGAUGAGAAUGUGCAUCACGCGUCAUCAGGAGAUAUGUGCCACGUGUUAUCAGGGGGAGGGGUCCCUACAAUGUCUCCCUUUUUAACUUGCUCAUUUUGCGUGAGCAAAAAAUGGGCGGGUUAAAAAUAAUUGGUUUUUUUUUUAAACUGAGUUUACUUUUUACGCUCAUUGGGCCUCGUGGCGUGCGGGGGCGAAGAGAGAGAGAGGCAUUUAUGACCAGCCGUCGUCUCUGUGUAUUCCCAGGCAGCAUGUCGUUUCAAUGAUAGCGUAGCUGAUCGUUUGGUAUACCGAGGGGCUGUCUCCCUAUAAGUAGUAUACUGUGCCCACUGUUGCAUUUUUCCUACUGCGUUUUUUCUGAGAUUACUGCUUCUUCUUACUUCUAUGUUCUCCUUUGUUUUCCUGAGUGAAGCCUUAGAAUUUUUCUGCUAGUGAUUUUUGCGUUGCGACGGUGACUGUGGUGCAGUUGUCGACCUUUUCUUCUAGUUUUUGCUUGGUACGUGCAUUGUUCUUGCUUUUCCUGGUUGCGCUUUGGUUUUGUUGGUUUGUCUGGGCAAGAGCCUUUGGGACUGGGUGUUUUGACAGUGUUUUUAGGGUUUUGGUUGCCCCCCUGCGUGUUUGUAGUUUUGACUGUUGGUUUUCUUCUAUGUAGAUUCCAUUUCAGUCUCAGGCUAGAAAAUGUCUUCAAACAAGAAAGUUGCUUCGUCUGGCCCGGUCGGCGAUGCUUCUGAGAAAUCUACAGAUAAACUGAGUGUGAAGGAGUUCCGGGACCGUUUCUGUAUCCCAAAUGGCGUGUUUGUGAAAUUUCUGGAUGAAGAGGAGGUCGUGUCUACUGAGAAAGCCGAAGGCCGUGCCAUCACCUUCUUUUAACAAGAUCCCACCUGCAUUUUACCAAGAUCCCACCAGUCUUCAUCCAUCCUAAUACAGUCCGGGUGCUGAUGGGAUGCAGCAUUUUAAACAUGCUGUUCAAUCUCGACCUAUCGCUACUGGAGGUUCUCUUUGUUUAUUCCCUAAAAAAGGGAAAAAAUGAUAUCUUCAGUAUGGCUGCCCAUUUGCCCUCGCUCCAGUUGGUGACUGAGUUGCCAGAUUCAACGAAAUGAGGGGCGAAGGGAUAUGUGGUGGUCAGGGGUGCCUGGGCGGGUCUAUUGCAGCAUCCGGAUAGGCCUUUUUCUCCAAACUACUCAUUGAAGCUUCCGGGUACGUCAGCUUUACGGGUUUUGUCCGGCAUUUAUCUUUGUUGUCCUUCUUGCUGGUUUUGUCGGGACUUAUCUUCGGUUUGUUGAUAAUGCAGGUUCGAACAAGAGGGGUCACGUUGUUGAGUGGGUAGAAAAAGCGUCGUUUGUUCGGUUGAACAAGUUGUUCAAGAUUACUGCCGUCGAGAGGCAGUAUGUGACGCUACUCAUUGCGUAGAACCUAAUGGUCGUUAUCCGGGAGUCCCGUGAGUACAUUAUCAAUAUUCUCCCUAGGAAGCUGCCAAAGAAGGUAGUGCCUAGGGAGCAUUAUAUUCUGAAGGAUCUCCCUUUCUAUAAGGAGGUACAACAGGCGGAUGCUGAGAAACGCCGAGCGCUCCUUGACGAUCGGGAGAAAAGGAAAAAUGAGGGAACCCUGCGGAGGGCCCCAGGGAAAAAACGGUCCGCAUCCUCUCCUCCUGCUGGCGCUCCAACGAAGAAGAAAAAGAAGACUUCAAAUAAGGGGAAGGAAGUGGAAAUCCUCUCUCCUCCGGAGGAGGUUGUAAUUCCUCCUUCAACCUACGUGAAGGAGGUAACAAUAAAGGAGCCGAAAAAUCCCGUCCCUGUUUCUGUUUCAAGCGGACCCGGACAUCUUGCGGGUCUGAACCACUCGGUCCCUCGAUGUCGGCAGCUGGCUGUUUGGCCCUGGUGGUAGAAGAAGCUACAUCAAUAAACCAACCUAGCUCUUCUCACCCGGAUGAAGAUGCGACGGAGGCUUCUUGUGCGGCCGUGCCGCCUCCUAUGGCAACCCUGAUGGAGGAAAUGGGGGCAGAAAACCCGGGUUUGCCAUCCUGCGAGCCAAGCCCUCUUGCCCUUGUACCGGUGAAGGGGUCAGCCUCAAAGAGACCGAGUUCAGCGCGGAACUUGAAGUCCGGGCUCCUCGGGCGGCUUCAAGAUCGAUUCCAAGAGAUUGAAGUCAGUUGCUCGUCCGCCCAAGACGCUCAUCCAGAGGGGAGCGAGACGGAAAUAGCAACUGAGACCCCAUCCAUCCCAGUAGUGGUUCCGGAUGAGGGCACGCCCGAAGAGACUCAGCCGGCUGCAAAUGAGGGGGCCCCGACUCCGGAGGAGGAGUCACCUUCCCAUGCUUCAUCCAAGGACAGUCCUGUUGAUGAUGCGGCUUGCAUCUCUGUUGACUCUUUUAGUUACGCAGAGUUGGAAGAGAAGGUGAAACGGAUUCCACCCGGCUUGAAUGUCGUCAUGCCUUCAGCAAAAAUGUUCGAAGUGGUGGAAUCGAUAAAGUGUACUUUCUUGAUUUUUUAUCAUGCUGAUGUGUUUGUGACAUGAUUUCUAAUUUCGCUUUUCUUGCUUGUGUGUUUUGUUUGCAGCUGGUGAGUGGUCUUCGUGGCAUGGUUCAACAACACGAUCUAUUUACUGACCUGCUGCGAACCACUGAUUAUAUGAAGGCCUUUGCGUCUCAGCGUAAAAAUAGUGAAGACCAGUUGCGCUUGAGAUUGGAGGAGGCCGAAGCCAGUCUAUCCGUCGCUUAUGGGGACAACGAGGCUCUCCGGGCGAACUUAGCUGAGGCAAAGAGCCGAGAGGAUUCGAUGGAGGCCUGUUUGCAUGAGGCGGAGGAUGAGGUGGCUCUUCUGAGGGGGGAGGUGAAGCACCUCCGGACGGAAGUUUCAAUUAAAAAGAAGCAGAGCGAAGAUCUGCAGCUGCGCUUAUCAGCGCAAAAAGAAGAGCUAGAGGGCAAGUUUACUACAGAGAGGGAGGAACUUGAAGCGGACUAUCAAAAGCAAGUGGACGAUAUGUUCUUCUUCGGCUAUCGCUGCUAUAUGAAGAAAAACGGUAUUAAACGUGAUGUCCCUUCAAUUCCUCCGGGUGAAGAGAAGAAUCUACUCGACAAGUCUACUCCCUGACAGUUUUUUCUUUUUGUAAUCUUUGCUGCUAUCUUCUUUCUGUAACUUUUGUAGUCCGGAGACCUCCUUGUACAUACUUCACCAAUAUCAAUAAAACAUACAUUUUUUGACAUUUGCACUUAUUUUUUUCUUCUAUUGAUAAUACUGCUUUAAAUUCGACACAUUCCAUGGUCUGAGUAAUGGAGUUCCGUCUAGCUUUUGUAGAUGAUAAGCGCCAUUUUCUCUUGACUUAGAUACUACAUAGGGUCCUUUCCAGUUUGCUUAAAAUUUUCCUGCGCCCGCUUCUGCAGUAUUUUCAAAAACUUUUCUAAGGACUAGUGUACCAUUUUUUAAGCUUUUGGGCCUUACUUUGCGAUUGUAAUGAGCGAAGGCCCUUUGCUGAUAGUCUGCCAUCCGGAUGGCUGCGCUCUCCCUUACUUCAUCUGCCCAAUCCAAGUUUCUUCCUAACUCCGCGUCUGCAUCAUCCUGUUUCGCUGCCUCAGUCCGGAUAGUGGGUAGCCCAAUUUCGAUAGGAAUGACUGCGUCCAUACCGUAUGCGAGGGCGAAGGGAGUGUUUCCUGUUGGUCGUCCGGGUGUGGUUCGAUAAGCCCACAGGACGCCGGGCAACUCUUCGACCCACCUUCCUUUGGCUUGUUCGAGUCUUUUCUUUAAGGCAUUGAUCAGGGUUUUGUUUGUUGCUUAUGCUUGCCCAUUACUUUGAGGAUAACGUAGUGUGGAGUAAGAAUUCCGGAUGUUCAGUUCCGAACAGAAAUUCCGGAAGGCGAUGCUAUCAAACUGUGGACCAUUGUCAGCUAUAAUGGUUUGAGGGAUUCCAAAGCGGCAGAUGAUGUUUUUCCAUACGAAUCUGGUGACGUCUUUGUCUUUGAUGCUAGCAUAUGCUUCAGCUUCCACCCAUUUACUGAAGUAAUCCGUAGCAACAAGUAGGAAUUUCUUCUGCGCGGGUGCGGCUGGGAGAGGUCCUAUUAUGUCCAUGCCCCACUGCGCGAAGGGCCAUGGACUUGAUACUGGUUUCAGUGUUUCUGAUGGCAUAUGUGGAAUGGGGGCGUACCUUUGACAUUUGUCACAUUUUUUGACGUAGGCUGCUGCAUCCUUCUUCAUUGUGGACCAAUAAUAUCCUUGCGAAUGAGCCCUAUGCGCCAGAGACCGUCCUCCUGAAUGAUUUCCGCAUAUUCCCUCAUGCAACUCAGCUAAUACAUAAAGGGUCUCUGAAUGGCUUAGGCACCGAAGAUAGGGGCCUGUGAAAGAGCAUUUGUAUAAGUGCCCCCCAAUCAGAGUGAAACGGGCGGCUUGCACCCGGAUCUUGUGUGCUUGUUUGGGAUCUUCGGGCAAAGUGCCUAUCCGGAGGUAUUGUGCAAUGUUGUUUGUCCAUUCUUGGCCGUCUGGUUGACUUGCCUCAAUGGCGCUGCAAGUGGAGGUUUCUGCGACGGAAGAGUUGGCUUGCACAUGUAUAGGCAAAAAUAUGGUUUCUUUGAUGGGGAGGGAGGCAGCUAUGCCUGCCAAGGCGUCUGCGCGUCCAUUUUCAGUUCGUCUGAUUUUUUCGAUCGUCCACUCGGUGAAUCGUUGUAAGGUAUCUUUUACCUUAGCUAGGUAUCGCGCUAUGCGCUCAUCUUUGGUUUCGUAUUCCUUCUGAACAUGUCUGACCACCAGUUGAGAAUCGCUAUAGAUCCGGAGCUUAGAGACAGAUAGAGCCAAGGCGAGAUCUAAUCCGGAUAGGAUGGCUUCAUACUCCGCUUCAUUGUUUGAGGCGGGAAAUCCCAUCCGGAUGGCUUGUUCCAGAUGUUCCCCGGUUGGUGAUUGCAGCAGGAGUCCUACACCGGAUCCGGAUGAUCGUGAGGCUCCAUCGACCCACAAAGUCCACCACUCUUUUUCAUUCUAUUUCUGGCUUUGUCUGGGCCUUCGGGAAUACUCCAGCACGAAGUCAGCCAUUACUUGGCCUUUCAUGGACAAUCUGGGUUGGAAUUCGAUUCCAAACUCCCUCAAUUCGAUAGCCCAUUGCAACAUUCUUCCGGUUAAGUCUGGCUUGUGCAGAAUGUUGCUAAGGGGCUGAUCGGUCAGCACGACCAUCGGGUGGGCUUGGAAAUAGGGGCGGAGCUUCUGGGCAGCGCUACGAAGGGCUAAGGUUGUUAGCUCCAUUUUUGAGUACCAGGUUUCUACGUCUGCCAAUGCUCUACUGACGUAGUAGAUGGGUCUCUGCUCCUUAGGUGAGGGGGAGCGAAAUAAAACAGCACUGACUGCCCACUCUGAUACAACUAGAUACAUGUACAAUUUUUCUUUUGGGAUGGGGUUGCUCAGGAUGGGCGGCUGCAUAAAACAGUGUUUAAUCCUUUCAAAAGCGUUUUGACAGUUGUCCGUCCAACCGUUUGUUCCAGUUUUUCGUAUUGCCAAGAAGAAGGGUCGCAAUUCCUCAGUGAAGCGGGCUAUAAAGCGCCCUAGCGCGACAAGUUUGCCUGUGAGGCGCUGCAACUCCUUCUUGUUCCUGGGUGGUGGUGUUUCUAUGACUGCCUUGACUUGAUCCGGGCUAACCUCUAUCCCUCUUUGGCUGACCAUAAAACCCAGAAAUUUGCUAGCACUUACGCCAAAUGCGCAUUUGGAAGGAUUCAACUUCAUGCCAUAUUUCCUCAAAAGGUGAAAAACCUCUUGUAAGUGGAGAACAUGCUCCUCUCGGGUUUUGCUUUUAACCACGAUGUCAUCAAUAUACACCUCCACUGUGUGACCUAUCAGAGGUUUGAAGAUUUUUGUCAUCAGUCUCUGAUAAGUGGCGCUAGCGUUUUUGAGUCCAAAAGGCAUGACUUUGUAGCAAUAGAGGCCAUUUGGUGUUAUGAAUGCUGUUUUCUCCUCGUCAUCUGGGGACAUGGGAAUCUGGUGAUAUCCGGAGAAGGCAUCCAAGAAAGAGAGCAUUCCUUGCUCGGCAGUGGAAUCCACGAUUUGAUCUAUUCGUGGCAAAGGGAAACUGUCUUUUGGGCAUGCAUUGUUGAGAUUAGUGUAAUCUACACAAACCCGCCAUUUUCCUUCUUUUUUGGGUACCACCACUACGUUGGCUAACCAAUCCGGAUAUUCUACUUCUCUGAUGAAUCCGGCUUCUAGCAAUUUGUCAAUCUCAUUUUGGAUGACUUUUUGUCUAUCCGGGUGAAAGUGUCUAAUCUUCUGUCGGACGGGUCUGGUAAUUUGAAAGACGUUAAGCUUUUGAGAUGUAAUAGAGGAAUGAAUUCCCUUUAUAUCAGCAUGCGCCCAUGCGAAGAUAUCAUGGUUUGGUCUGAGGGCGUUUUGCAUACUGUGGGUCUCUUCUGGUGUCAUGAGGGAGCUGAUGUUUGUGAGAUGAGUACUUUCCUCCGAAAUUUGGAUUGUUUGUAAGGGAUUUGCUGCCGGGGAAUCUUUGUCCGCAGGGCCCAAUAAUUGCUAUCGGUCAUGCGGAUUGCUGGGCCCAAGGAGGGAUGCAUCCUCCUGGCUGGUCCCUGCUUCUCGUGCUAUCUGGUAGCAUUGGCAAGCGGCUAAUUGGUUGCCAUAUAAGUCUAUUUGCCCAUCGUUGGUGAGGAAACUCACCAUUUGAUGAUAUGUAAAGGGGAUAGCUUUCAUGUAAUGUAGCCAUGUGCGCCCUAAGAUGAUAUUGAAGGGUGAUAACUCUUGUACCACCGAGAAUUGUACGUUGAGAGUGACUGGGCCUGCUUGGACCGGCAGUACAAUGUCUCCCAAAGACGUAGUUGAUGACCCGUUGAAUCCGGACAGGAUUCGUCCGGGGUUUUCAAGGCCUGCGAGACUGUGUCCCAUGUGGCUAACGACCGAUGCUUGUACAAGAUCGACGGAGCUGCCUGGGUCAACCAAGAUGUGUCUCACAUCGAAGUUUCCUAUCUCUAGGGACAAGAUGAGGGCGUCGCGAUGUGGCUGCAAUGUCCGGGUAGGGUCAACUAGUGGGAAAAUGAUUGUCCCAUCUAUGGGGCGAGGGCCCCCUCUAGUUAACCUAGGCUGGAUGGAGUUGAUACGUUCGCGUACCGACGCGGCUCGCAACAAUCUCUGCCUUUUUCGCCUAGAGUCGUACUCUUCGUCAGAUGGGCCUCCGUUAAUGUAGUUUAUAACGGCCUUGGUAGUGGCUGGGGCUCUGGGGGCUCCAGAGUUGGGAUUUUGGGGAACGUCUCUUCCCCCAGCAUCCGAGCGGAGGUAUUGCUUUAAAUGUCCCGCCUUAAUGAGCUUUUCGACCAAAAAAUGGAGGCACCUGCAUGUCUCUGUUGUGUGACCAUGAUCUUUGUGGAAGGCGCAUCUUUUGUUAUGAUCUCUUGUGGAUGGGUCCGUUCCAAUGGGUCUAGGCCACUUGAAGUCGGAUAAACCCUGGAUCAUCGGGAGAAGUUUCUCAUAUGAUAUGGAAAGAGGUGUGAGAGGCGGCCUUUCCGGGAGACUUGGCCCUUCCUGCCUUCUGUCAGACAGCCUUGGCCGGUCCGGAAGUUUAGCAUUUAUUUUUGUGCCACCUCUAGAUGCCUGUCCGGCAACCAAGACUUGCUGGGUGGCUGCCCGUACGUCAUCUUCGACCAUCGAAUAUUUGUUUGCACGUCUGAACAAUUCGUCCAUCGUUGUAUGAGGUUUUUUGGCUAGUGAUUCAAAAAAUGAAGUGCCUGGACAGAUGCUUCGCUUGAAGAUCGGUAGGACAGCAUCCAUGCUGCAAGCCUCUACCUGGAGUACGGCCUGACCAAAUCGCUUCACAAACUCCCUUAAGGAUUCGUUAUCUUGCAUUUUUAUGUUUUGUAGAGUGCUGAUGUUCUACUUAUGUCGAGCGGAGCAUAAGUAUUCUCCCACAAAAGCUUCGGAUAGGUCCCUGAAGUUGCCAACAGAGUUGGGAGGUAGGCGAUGAAACCAUGAGAGGGUCUGCCCUUGUAGGUUGGCGGGAAAUACUUUGCACAGCAGUGCAUCGUUGCAUAUAUCGAGAGUCUUAAGCUGUCGAUAAUGCAUGAUAUGAUCGAAGGGAUCGUUAGACCCAUCGUAUGUGGAAAAUUUUGGUACGAGGAAUCCCCUUGGGGGCUCGUAAUGGGUGAUGUGAGAGCAGAAAGGCGUGGAGAGCAUGUCGUUCAGCCUUUUGCUGAUGGAACCAAUUGGUGGCUCGCUUGGGAGGUUUCUCCCAGCUUGUUGUACCGCUAGGUGCAAGUGAACGUUCCGCAUCAUGGGGGUGACCAUGGGGUCACGAUGCGGAUGCACGUUCUGCACCAUGGGGGUGAUCAUAGGGUCAGGGCGUAGUGCCCAGGUCGUGGCUACUGGUGGCCUUGAUCUCCUAGGCUCUUGUGGACCUAGUCUUGCGCGCAUUGAAUUUGACAACUGAGAUUUUCUGUCACGUUGUCUUUUUGCUGAGAAAUGAGUAGAGUCUGAGUUUUCCUCACGGGGAGCUCGAGGCAUGGGCGUGUGUGGCUCAUGAGGCCUCACGUUGCAUGCUCCUGGGAUAGCUCCUGCUGUUCCAGGAUAUAUAGACUCUAGCACUGGCCUUGAGUUUGCUACUUGGCCUCUUGAACGCUGACGACGAGGAGGCUCUGAUGUUGAAGCUUGGAUGCGUAAUACAGCGUUUUCCUCUCUUAGUCUUUCUGUCUCUUGGAGGAGAGCUUUCAGUUGUCGUUCGCUUGCUAACUGUCUCCUUUCGAUGGCUUGACGCCAUUCAAAAUUAUCCUCCUCUCGCCUACCAGAUGAACGGCUUCGAGAAGGUGCGGCCAUCUUUGCUGGCGAUUGAAUCAAAUGAAAAAAUUUUCCCACAGACGGCGCCAAUGUUGAGGCCUUACGACGCUGGUGAUCCACGUAGUUGCCCAAUGGAUGGACGCACGAUCUCAACUAAUACAAGUUUUUGAUUCAGUAGUUCCACCUGCAAAAGGCGUCCGGACGGGGUGUCCGGACGCACCUUCUGAUGGUUUUGUUAGCCAUCGUCAGAGAGAGGGAAAUAAAUCAGUUGGCCUUUUACUAGGUACAGCCAGCUUACCUUGUCUUUGUUUGUGAAGGCUUUAUAUAUAUAGUUCCAGAAGCACUGUUCCCCUCAUUAAUGGUGGGGAGAUAUUUUGUAAUGUCAUGAUGACACUAGGAGGUGGCAAGGUUAUCAUCACCCUACGGGCGGUUGACAGAGAUCGUGGUAGGUGAUGCGGCUGUCAGAGAUCGUGGUAGAUGAUCAUGUGAAAUGAUCAUGGAAAGUGACUUGUUGUCACUUCAUCUUGUCCUCUCAUUCUGCAGAUGGCAAGAUGUGGGCCAUGGCAGGCUGUUGUGAUAACGUGUAAGACUUGCUUUACUUCAGUCAAUGACCCGGACAUCAUAUCUGGAUGACCUAUGUUGGUCAUUCAGAUGCAUUGUGAAAGUCGUUCGGAUGUCUAUGUUUAUAAGUGUCGUUUGAACUUCCUUGAGGCAAUCCGAAUAUGAGGGGCGCAUCACGUGUAUCCGGAUGAGGUGAUCCGGAUGGUGUUUAGCCAGAUGAGAAUGUGCGCCACGCGUCAUCAGGAGAUGUGUGCCACGUGUUAUCAAGGGGAGGGGUCCCUACAACCAUCAUGGCAAGGUGGUGGUGUCCUUGGCCAUGCAUCCCAUGCAGCUUGGCUCCUCCGAAAACCUGCCCCCCACUCCAAAAACAAGCCGCCAGCUCUUCCCGGGUUUGAGAAAAAACCCAUGGUCCAAGAGGGGUCUACAAUAACAUUAAUAGAAAAGUAAGCAAAAAUUACCGAAAUAGCAAAUUCAUCAAAAGAGGAAGUAAGAACAAAAAAAUUGUAGUGUUAAAACCAAUGCUUUUAAGUUCAGCAAAAGAAGAAGUAUGAAUAAAAUAGAAAAGAAAUAUCCAUACCUAUGCUACUUGAAAAAAAAUUUUUAAAAAAAAAAUGUAGCAUUAAAAUCUAUGCUUGUAAUGCUAACUCUUUAAAGUUUAAACUAACUUCUAUGUAAAAGCUUAAUAUUACAACUCUAACAAGAGAAAUGAACAAUUUUAUCCCAUAAUAGUUCAACCAAUGCACUAACCAAAUUUUCAUUUUUAUUUUUCAUGGAAGGAGUAAGCACAUAAGGAUCAAACAUUAUUUUGUUGAAGGGUUAGUGAAAUAUGGGAAAUUUAUUGUUAAGUUGUGUAAGACACACAACUAGAUUGCAUAUAAGGAAAAAAAGAUUGAAAAAUAGAGAAAAAAAAUAGCUUGGGAAUUUUGUCUAUCUAAGAAAUGCCUAUGCUUUGGAAUUACAACUUAGAAAGUUAUAUUGAUUUAUAUAUGUACAAUUUAAGCUUGAUAAAAUAAUGAACAAAAGAAGGCUGAAGGUUUUUCUCUUUGUAAUUUCUUCCCUUGACUGUUUUAUCAACUCAUCAUACUUUCCAACAAUAUUGUAUUCUAGAAAAGUGGCCUAGUCUUUCAUAUGACGCUUUUGUCGAAAACAUAGGGGACACAUUUUAUGAUACUAAUUAAGGACUUAUACCUUAAGAGGUUUUUCUCUUCUCGAAUAAGUGUUGCUUUCGCAUAUUAAGCUACCCAUUGCAAUAAGCAUCUAAGCCCUAGCUAACUUCAAGCAUUCCCAUUGUAAUGUGACUUGAUUAAAUUAAGGGUGUGGUUUGUUUGGCAACAAGAGGUAUCAAAGUCAUCAUGUUAUUAAGAAGACACCUUUCUAGAAUUAUUCGCUUAUUCAGCCUAUUUUGGGCGUAGAAUUUCACUUAUAUAGGUUGUUGGUUGCAUUUGAGGCCUUCCCAACCAAAAUGAAAUAUAAUUUUUUUUUUUUAAAAAAAAAAAUUAGUUAAGAAAAAUUGAGGUACUCAAUUUUUUAUCUUUAGCCUUUAAGAGUGAAGAAAUGUAAAAACGUUUUUAAAUUAAAAGGAAAUCAAUUUAAAAUAUUUAAUAUAACUUUUUAUAGAAAAAUAGAAUUUAUAUUUUAUUUUAUAUAAAUUAAAAACUUAAAAAUUCCAACCAAGCAAAAAGUUAUAUCUAUGGUAAUGUUAGAACCACAUUCAAUGAUUUUGGUUUUAAAUAAAAAAAACAAAAACUAUUAUCAAUGAGUAUGAUUUUGAUAUAAAAAAAUAUAUAUUUUAUUGAAUUAUGAAUAGCCUAGUUUUUAAGGGGUAUUUUAGGUAUUCUACGUAGUAAUUUGUUCUCAUUUUCAAUUAACAUAAAAAAUUAUUAAGGAGACCGUUUUUUAAAUAGAGACGUGUGAAAACAGAAGAGUGGUGGGAGGCCUAACAUCACAUUGUAUUUUCUGUUUUAUCAUAGUAUAAAUUCUAUAAUAACAAAAUGAACAUAAACCUCUCAUUGAGAAGGUGAACAAAGAGAUAAAACAAACAACCGACAAAGGUAGCAGGUGAAAUAUGAUAUAAUAAUUGGUACAUGGAAACUUGAUUUGAUUUUCAUCUUAAAUUUUUACUCGGAUGGUUAGGUACCAUUUAUCCAACUUUUGGCGAGAUUCAGAUCCCAGCCGGCCGUGAAAGGGUCAGGCCGGGGGCUCAAGCUAAGCUUAGAUGUGACUCGUGAGCUGGCCUCGAACUAGUAAAAAAUAGGAAAAGAUAACAUUCGGGGUAUACCUUGAACUUUAACAUGGACCAUAAGCUUCAGCUAGUUCUGCCAUCUUUUUCUUUUUGUCAACAAAAAAGCACUUAAUCAGAGUAGAUACCAUCCCAAUCAUCUCAUCUUAGAGGAUCACAGAUUCAACUUUAUAUUGAAACAUUUUCAUAUAUACAGUGUGAUUUUAACAUUGAAGCCACUGUGCCGAACCCAUUUUUCUUUAGUUCUUGCCUUUUCCAGCUACAGCUAUACGAAAUUCCAAAUGUAAUAUAGAGGUUUACAGUUCCAAAAAUUACAAUAAAGAGUGGAAAAAUAUUUCUAUAGAAACCAGUAUCAGCACUAAAGAAUAUAAAAGUAAUGCUAUGACUUAGAAGGGCCAGCACCCAUUGAUGAACUCCUCACUGCAACCUUGACCGCACCAACCGUGCUACGCUGCCUCAUCUCAGGGCUCAGCCCUUGAGCAUCCUGGUAACCACAACCUUCUUCCAUCUGAACCCACACCGAGUAUGCUAUCUGAACACCCACAAACAUAAUACAGGGAAUGAGUGCAUAUAAAAACCUAGAUAAUACCGGUUUCAAUGAAAUUAUACUCUUAAAAUCAUUUGGUCUUUGCAGUUGAAAUGAAACUGCUAUUAGAUCUGUUUGCUUCAUCAACUUGACAAGAAGAAAGAGAAUCUAAUAAUCAUCAGUCUUUCUAAAAAAAGCAAAAUCUUCAAAGUUUGCAUCAGCAAUGAUAUGUGUAGUCUUAUUAUAGACCCAGUCCCAUUAUAAAAAAAGCAAAAUGCAACUACUUGCAUGGUUUCCGAACCCCCCAAGUUACCACUUAUUUUUUUGGAACAAACAAACAAACAUUCAUAAAUGAGGAAGAGCUGCAUGAGCAAUUCCGAUCUCUCUAAUUCAGAACAAAGAACAAAUCAUUUUGUUGAAAUUCAAUUCAAUCAAAUAUCUAAUAUCCGUCAUUUUCUAAACAAAGUGGGGUAAUUCAACAGUGAAACUACAAUAUGACAUUAAUAUCCUCAAGAUGCUUACAUGGAUUGAUUAAACCACACAAAUUUCAAUGGAAUUACCAGUGGUUAAUACAGACUACUCUGAACCAAUGGCUGGCUGGUGCUGCAGGCCAGAUCAUGACUACCAAGCCCAAGGUGAAUCAUUAAAGUUCUAAAGGGGUUGAUAUCAGAAUUUAUACAUAAUAUUACUUGCCUCACUUCCAUAUUUUCAUGCAAUUUUUAUUACUGUCUCAACUAUAAUUGGCUUAUAACAUCUAUCCAUGGUACAAAAGAAUCAGCAGGACUUGAUGAUAACUGGAUACCCUAGAAAAGGUAAAGCCAGGAUCAUUUAAUAAUCUUAAGCAAGCAGUAUGCCUAACCUGAGCAAUUCUACAAUUUGCUUGGAUUUCAUUCAGGCAAAUUGCCUCCAUGCAUUUAUUACUAGUUAUAUUCAUAACAUAUAGUGCAACACUUUCAUUAAGCAGUUUCAAUAAACAAUGUCGAUAGCACUACACAAAAUGUAAGGAACUGGUUCACUGAAAGGCGAGCAGGACAAAAUCCACAUAAUAAGUGCAAUCUCCAUAUAUGAACUUAAAAUCGGUUAUAAAUGACAUUCCUACUAAGGACUUGGAAAGAGUUCAACUCUUCAGAAUUACUAUUUCUCAAAGUCAAAGCAUAGUUGAGAGUUGAGACCAACUUAAGCCUUAGCAUAAGAUUCACAACACACACCAGAUCAUUAUUCAAAGAGGGGUUUUGUACCACCAUUUGUCUGGGAAAAAUGAAAAAGAAGAAAAAGAACCAAAUUUCACUGACACAGCCCUGACCCAUGGAGAUGGCUUAAACAACUCUCAUUACUUUAGGAUUAUGUUGGUUCCCGGAAAGGUUGGAGUUAAAAAAGGGAAAAAGAAAAUAGUGAGGAAAAUCAUAUGGAAAUAAAGGGUAAGGAAAAUUUAUACAAAGUUUUCUCUUGUUUGGAUAUCGAUGGAAAAUUUGAAGGAAAGAAAAUUAAAUUGUUUAAAAAUGUGCUUUCCCCUAGCUUUCUUCACAUUUAUUUAAGGAACAUCUUUAUCAUUUUCCAUCUACAUUUUUCAUAGUAUCCAAAUAUAAGAAAAUCAUUUUUCUUUGCAUUUGUUUUUCCUCUCCUUAGUACUUUCCAAGAAACAAGAAUAACCUAGGUUAUUUUUUUUAGGUAUUUUGUUGCUUUAGGUUUCUUAUUAUUUUUAUGUUUCAACAAUAACUACAAUUAUUUUCCUUUUAUUUCUACAAUUUUGAAUUCUAUCAUCACGAUUGUUAGGCUUAGGGGAGACAGGUGUUAUAAUUUAUUAAUAAAAACUAGCCUUUCAGAAUUUGAGAAUUCUAUAAAAAAAAUUCUCUUCCUACAGGUUUCUAGGAAUUCUCUUGAAUCAACAAGACUUUCAAUGCCUAAUUCUUGCUAUUCUCUUAAGAAAAUCAACAAGUUCUGGAAGAUGACACCUUUAGUCAUUGCCAGCUUGUUUCUACACACCCAAUGUGUCAAGUUAUAUUCGAGGCAAAACACCUGCUGUGUCAAGUGGUAUCAAGCUGAAAACCUAGAUCAAGGUCACGUAUUAGCAGAAAGGCAACUGUAGUUCGAAUAGUUUUGUAAAUUGGGAUUCUAUGCCAAUCUAUGAUGAAUACCCUGAAGAUGGUGAUAAUGUUUAUAGUGCCACAAACGAAUCUUUUUACAUUUCAAAAAUCUUAUGAUAAAGACUACAAUGAUGCUUCUGCUACAAGGAUGUAACUAGCUCAAUGCCCUGGACAAAGUUGCAUAACCCAACAAAUCAUGAUAAAUACUUAUGCUACAAUCAAUAUUGUUCCUAUUGCCAAUAGAAGGAGAAUAACUCUCAUAUGAGAGGACAAAGAGAUGAAGUGUGGGAAAAAAUGGCUUGUAAUUGUGGACUGUCAUGUAAAUUUUAGGACAAAUUCUUUUCAACCUAGAGGACUGAUACAUGCAUGAAGAUUGUUUCAGCACAAUUUUUUUCCUUUUCUUUUCCCUAGAAUUAAGUCAAUAAAUACAUUAUGUUGACUCAAGGAAGAUUAUUAUUAAUUAAAUAAAAGAUUAAUUUUUCUUUGAAUUUGAGACUUCUAUCAAUUCUUUCUUGUUCCUAUUAUUCUUAGUAUUCUUUUAAAUCAAUAAGACUUUAGAUGCCUACUUCUUGGUAUUUUCUCUACAUUCUAGAAGAUGACACUUUUUGCAAUUGCCCAACCUUGUUUCUAUAGGCCCAAUGCCUCGAGUAGUAUCAAAGGCAAAAUGCUUGCUGCACAUUCAUUCAUCCAAUUGUUCAUUCAAUGAAUUGGCACUAAAUCCCUCUUCAAUGCAGUGUGACAAGUUGUGACAGGCAACAGGUUGUAUAUUGUGAUGGUGCAGGAAAAUAGCUCCAGAGAAGCCACACCCAUAUAGAAGAUGCAAGCUUUCCUACACCUGUACAAUGCUCAUGGAAGAUCUCUUGCAGCAUUGGCACUGAUCAUUUCAUGAAUGCCUAUAAAAACUACUUUCCCUGUUUGAAUGGUUGAUUAUUGAAAAUUCCAUAACUAGUGGCUCCAGCGUCUAGUUCAUCAGUCAAGCAAUGCAGGGCUACUGGGAUUCCUUUUUGCCAAAAAAAUACAUGUAGCUUAGAUGAUGUUGGUAGAAAAGAGAUAUAUGAUUAGAUAUGAACUUAUUAGGCAAAAAAUAUGGGUAGCAAGAUAUCGGUUGAGAUUGAUUAUAUUUAGAGAAGCCCAAUUGCUUCGUAGGUAUGCCUCCCAUUUUGAUAAGGUAGCAAGCGGCAACAUCCCCAUUUUAGAGGGGCUAGGUAUAGUGGAUGCGAAGUUUGAAUUUAUGUGGUGUCAAUGUGGGAGUGCAAGUGACAUUGUAGUACCUCUAACCAGAGAGAGAAAGAGUUAAAAAGUUCUCACUUGAAUCACAUAUUGGUCUGUAAUUAAGCUAAAAGAGCAGAAUUUUGCCAACCCAGUACAUGGGACAAGGCGAUACAGAAGAAAUCAUAUGACCAUUCUGUCCUUUCCCCUAUCUUCUUCAGCAAUAAUGGAUCUACAAUAUCUUAUGGAAAUAUGCCAAGAAAACCUUGGUACAUGAAAACCAAACCAAAGAUCACGUUCAUGGGUUUAAUCCACCUUAUAAGAUCUAACUGAAGGAUCAAAGACACUAUUGAUACCUUUGAUCUUAUCCAAAAAAUCAACCAGCUAAUAGAAGACAAUUUUAUUUGUUGUAAAAUACUGGGAUUUUUAAUUCUUGCCUCAAUGCAAUAGAUUCAGUUCCUUCCUCACACAUGAAUUCUAUGGAAGUUAAGGCACAUAAUGAUACCUUGCCAGAGGCAUUCCGAACAGGAGAUAUGUGAAGAAGAUUCCAAAACGAACUCCUAUCCUUCCUGAGAAAGGAGCAGAAAAACAUGGUUUAAAUCUGAAGAAACUGCAGUUCAUCUAAAAUACGUUGGAAAGCAUAGUCAAGUAUCAACCUGUAAUUUAAGAUACGUACUGUGCAUGCUUGCUCAGUUUGGAUGCUUUCCUUUACCUGCGGAAAAAUAGCAGUAGAUGUAAUUAUCAGGGAAAAUCCAUUCCACUAAUUUGUUACAAAAUUACAAGGCAAAGAUUCAAUAGUUAAAAUUUAAAAAGCAUAAACCUGCAAUAGAGUUGAUGGAUCCGUAUCCACACCACUCAAAAACAUACACUGGCAUCCCAACACUUCAUGUCUAGCAUAUCCUAUUAAAAUAGAAAUAAGGAUUAGUAAGAAGCUUGAUUGUUUAAUAUAUCAUAAUAUCCAAGGUCCAGAUCUUUCUAGCUCAAACUAUGAAAUUUCCUACAAAGGGCUAGGACAAAUCAAUGUGUGUAUAGCUCUAUAAAGCUUUGAGCACCUGUCAAUUUUAAGAAGGCAUCACUUGCAUAAACGAUUGGCAUCUCAGGUAAAUGGGGAUCAGUCCUGCAAGAGCAACACAUAUAUGUUGUGGGAUGCAUAAGGCGAAGACAUUAACCAUCUUCAAACACUAUAUUGACAUCUAUGGUAAAAGAAAUUUAGGAAUUGUAAAAACUCACAAUACAAAGCUUUGUUUGAUUCUACCAAGAGAUAUAAUUAAGGAAGCACCAAGGAGGCCAAUUCCAGAUAAGGUGCAUCUCUUUUCGCAGACCAAUUUGCCAGUUAACUCACUAUAGUGUGUUAGCAAAGACAAGAUAUUGUUAACAGCGGCUGCAGCCCUUCUCUUCUCUUGAUCACUUGCUUCCCGAGGCUCUUCAUCGUCUACCAUAAAAGACAAAGGCAAUGCAUAAGAACCCAACUAAAACCAAAAUGAUAAGCUAUACAAAUGAAAAUCGGAAUAAAGCAAAACUAGAAAACUAAAGCAACAAUUAAGUAGACUGGAAAUGCAGAUGUCAGCAUUAAGAACUGCAAAACGACAGUUAAACAAGCAACAUGGUAAAAAUGAAUUGCAUAAGUAAAAAAAAUAGAAAAUAAACAAGACCGAUGCAAUAUAUAGAUUGCUAAACAUAAAUUUAAAUGACCAAACAGUGUUUAAAAAAUGAAAAAAAACACACACACAAUCAAUGAUGAAACACAAACAGUCAAUCAAGUAAAGAAACAGGUUUUGAGUACCCAAUCAUGAGGCAAAUGACACAACAAAACCUUGGUUGAAUUGAGGUAUAUAAGCUAGCCCAACCUAGAACCUAGAAAGAAGGCAAAAUUCAAUUACACAAUCAUGAGAGAUUAAAAAUAAAAAGUAAGCUGAAACAAAAUUCAAGCCUCAAAGUUAGAAAAUUAUCAACCAAAAUCCAUUAGAAGCAUUUGGCAAUAUCUAACAACCACAGAAAUAGAGUGAACUAACUAUGGAAAGAAUUUCCAUCAAAGAGACAGGCAAUUAAGAACUGCAAUCAAUAUAGCAAAGAGAAGAAUGAUAUGAUGCCACAUGAUGAAUAUAAUCACAUCAAAAGGAUCAACAACUAAGCUUGAAUCAUCAUAAAACAUCGAAGAAACAGAGUCAUUAUUAGUUUGAAGAGUAUCUAAGAUGCAAAAUGGGAUACAGACCUCUGUUAUCUGAAUCAAACAGCGACUCGAAAGCCAAAACAUGCUCCAGCUCCAACACUGAAUCCGAGCACACCUCCCUCCUACAAGACCCGAAUACAAUAUCACGUGACCUACACCCGUCCUCGCAUACUCCAUCUCUUCCAGGCCCGCUUCCGGACCACCUUGGCUUCCUUGACAUUGGCACUUGAACUGCAACAAAGUGUAUCACCCUGCCAUCUUCCUUACUAAAAACAGGACUCAUGUGAAAUAACAUCCAAAUGGGGGUUCCAUCUUUACGAUAAUUCAAUAAAAUAGUUUGAAUUGUCCUCUCUUCUUGAAUUGCCUCCUGAAUUUCGGUUAUCGAUCUCCUACUAGUCCCUGGUCCCUGAAAUGCCCUACCAUUCUUCCCAAUCACCUCCUCUUUCGAAUAUCCCGACAUUUUCAAGAAUCCCCGGCUGGCAAAAACAAUUGGGUGCCCUGAAAUUGAAGGAUCAGUGAUAGUGAAAUUAUCAGGCAAUUCAUCGAGCGCUUCUCGCACCCAAACCGAGUACCGGUAAUUAAAAGACUGUUCAAUCAGAGCCAAUUGUGAUUCCAUGGUUUUUCUUCCUCCUGUUGUUGUGUUCUCGGAUUAAACCCGAACCUCAAUCCCAUGUGGCGCGUUGAGCGCGUGUGCUUCUCCUCUAGAAAUGACUUUGAAAUAAAUAUUAACAGCCCCACCAGGAAAAGAAAAUUUGAAUCAAAACAGAAGAAUCAUGAACAGAGCACCUACGAAUUAACUAAAUAUCAUCUUCCCAAAUUUCCAAGAGUCUCAGUGAAGGGUACGAGAAACAAGAGCAAAUAAAUUGAAAAUUUGAUGAAAACAAAGGAAACUUACAUGGAAGAACUACAGCCUACACCCAAGUGAGUGAGCUACACGAUGAAGAACAAGAUCGAUCCAUCUCGUACAUAUAACAAAAUAUCUCCCGCAGAAUCUUUCUUUCCAAUGAACAAUAACGAAAUACAAACACCAAUCAAUCGUUUUCUUGUUUCCCAAAUGACUCAGAAAAAAAAUGAAAGAAUACCCAAAAAAGAGAGAAAAUGGAGAGAAAAGAAGAAGAAAAAAAAAAAGCAACAACAGCGAUCUCUUAAAGAAUUGGAAGACCACGCAGGCAUGCAGAGUCACAUAAAUUAAGGAUUUUUAUUAAUUUUCGUGACUGUUAAUUAGUCUAUUCGAGUUGAAAACAAUGCGAUUUGCCCAUCUGUCUCUCUUGAUUAAGAGAGAGGGGGGGAGAAGGGGAUAAUAAAACCAAGCUUUUCUUUUCUUUUCCUUUUUUCGGUUUUCUGUAUAUUGUUUUAUAUUUAUCUCCACAUGCAUGAAGGCUGGUGUUUGGGGCUGCGGAAAAUUGGAGAACUCGUGUCCUCCAUACCCCUCACUGCUGGGUCCCAUAAUCUCAUCAAUCUUGGUUGGAUUCUUGGAGGUUUUUAAAGGAUAUUUAGCUUUGAAUUCUGUUGAACACUGUCACUGUUAUUAGGAUAAGAACUACACCCAAACCCAAUACUCAAAAAUGAUUUCAACAACUAUAUCAUUUCUUCUUUCUUGUUUAUUUGACAAACCAACGAGACUCUACUCAUUUUCCUUGUAGAUGAAGCUUGAAAGGGCAUAAGAAAAAAGAGAGAAAAAAGUUUGGGGUGUUUUUUUCUCCGUGUUCAUUGUACCCUACCAUUUUUCCAUUCAUAGCAGUGCACAUUACAUUCUGUCACCCAAUGUUAACACAAGUGAUUAAGAUAUUAAAGUAAUGUUUGAUGUGGACAUAUACUUUUGUGUGGAGGGGAUGAAACUUCUUCCAUAUUUCAGAAUUAUUAACUUAUGUGGUAUUUACUUUUGAUCUAAUCACAGACUUAAUUCUGUGACAUAAAAGUACAGUUCUCUGUACAAGAAACAUAAACAAAUAAAGGGAUGAGACGCUGUGAUGGAUUAGGACUUUGCCUUACCUUCAUGAUCCAAGAGGGUUAUUGGAUAGCCUCUUAUGUGGGCCCAGAUGAAAUCAAUAAUUGAGUAAAGGGAAAAAUGGGAAGCCACCCCAAGUGUGGUGAGGAGCAGUGGGCGUAGGAGAACAUGUGAUAGAGAUGAGAAGUCAAUAAGAUCGAUGGCCGAGAAGCUUUCAAAAGAACCGCCAGUGGUUUGGCAUGUUUGGCGACAGGCGUAUCCACUCUGGUUCUUAUCCAUCCAUGUCAUCUUGACGUUAAUAGCCGGUGGCGUUUUUUGUUUCCUUCUUUAACUGAGGGCGGCCGCAACCAAUUUGCAUUAACGACGACGAAUUCAUGCGAUUAUACGUGUACAUACACUUUCUUUUUGAAAUUUUCAUGUUAGAUACGUAUUAGGAUUUUAGUCAUACUUACAUAAAUAUACUUAAAGAGUAAAAAUGUAGCGAUACCAACUCUCCCCUGUUUAAUAUGGGAUAUCAGAAAACAUCUCUACGCCACAUCAUCAUUGUGACCCUUUUUAAAAUGCAUCUUUAAAAAUAACAUCAGAAGUUUUUUUCCUUUAUCCAAUAGGACGUCAUAAAAGAUUUUAUAUAAAUAAGUAAAAAAUUAGAAAUAAACAUUAAAUAUAAUUAGCUAUAAAUUUUAAAAUUACUUAAAUAAAGUAUACAAUUUCAUGGGUCAUAAGUAAGAAUCGUAAUUUGUGUGGAUCGGGUCCAAAUUUAAUUUGACUUUUGAAUGAAUUUAAAUAAUCAUUGUUAAUAGUUGUGAAAGUUUUUUUAAUCCAAAUUCAAUUUAGGUUGAAUUGAGUUAAGGUUAAGAUUUAUAUAACUUGAAUCUACUUGAAUUCGAUUUAAUAUUUCUGUAAUAUUUGUAAUUAAUAUAUAUUGUAUAAUAAUAUUCAUUUUUAUUAUUUUUUUUAGAUUUUUGAGUAAAAAUUUCAAAUUAGAAUUAUAUUAUAUACUUGUUUCAUUUUUCUAUAAAUAUAUUCAAAUUUUUUUAUUUUUUUUAUUUUCUACAUGUAUUUUAAAUCAUAUAAUCAAACCAACUCAAGCUUAAUCCAAUUAAUAAAAGUUUAGUUAAAGUUUAAAAAUUGAGUUUGAAUUAAGUAUUUUGGAUUGAGAUUAGAUUGGGUUCAAAUGGUAAAUUUCUUAAUUUGAAUUGAGGCCAAACUAGCCGCCAAUUUCCAAAAUCUUUGUUAGUGAUCUAUUUUGAAUUUUUAAAAAAAUUUAUUUAUCAUUUGACACUUGAUCCUAAAUGUUAUGCUUGGUUCCGAAAAUUUGAGGAAAAUGCUGAAAAAAAUAAAUAAAGAAAGAAAAAAAAGUGAGAAAUAUAUAUAUAUAUAUAUAUAUAUAUAAACAUUUAAAGUUAAAUUAUUUUUAUAUAUUACUUUAAAUUCAUUUUACUUAUUUUAGUUUUUUAAUAUAAAAAUUCAUAUAUUUUUAAUUAAUUUUAAUUAUAUUAUACUUUUUUGAUAUUUUUAUAGUACAAUCAAAUAUUAAAAAAAUUAUUUUUUUUAGUAUUUUUUCUUUUCUUUUCUUAAUACUUUUAGACAACCAAACAUAACCUAAGUUUUGAAAAUGAAUAUUAAUUCUAGGUGGUUUAUAUAGAAAGAGUGUAUUUUUCAAGUGCUACUAUAGCAAGUUAAACCAUUUGUGAUCCCUACUUUCAUUCUUUUUAUUAUGAAUUUUUAAUGUGUGUUGUUGUUUGAUGACGAUAAUUGUUUUUUAUCGUAAAAAAUUAGAGUUAUCACUUAUUUUAAUAGAAAAUUUUCUAAACCUUACUGUUUAUUUAAUAAUAAAAAAAUAGAUAUGUUUUAUUUGAAAGUAAAUUUUUUGUACUUUUUAUUUAAAAAAAAUUAUGGAUAUAUUUUAGUUUAUUAAAAGCAUUUAUGAACAACUUUAUUAAAUAUAAAUAUAGAAAGAAAAUAGAAACAAUACAAUGAAAACAAAUAAAUUAAACUAAAAAAACUGACAAGAAAUUGAACAUGAAAAUAAAACAAAUAAAUGACAAGAAACAAAAAUGAGAAGAAGAAAGAAAGUGUACCCAAUACACAGUGGGUGAAAUAAAAUCUCAUAGUUGAGUUCUCUUCUACUUCAAAUAAUAAAGAAAAGAGAGCCACUAAAAUCCUCCUCCCAAAGAUGAGUUGUCUACCAACUCAUACGAGCCGUCCAAAUCCCUUUGCUAGUGCCUUAGGGGUUGGUGCCCUUAUAUAAGUUACCAGCUUGCUUUCUAUUAGGAAAUCCAACCCUCCACAUGUUGGACAUCUAGAGCUUAGCAAAAAAGAAUCCAAUUGCAAUAGAAUUGACUCAUGCACAAAUCAAAGUAGGCCCAAAUCAAAGUAGGCCCAAAAGAAGGCAAGUAACAAGCCUAAAUUAAAUAAUUGCAAGCCCAUUAAAAUAACCCCAAAGAUGAAAUAAUGAGGCUUCAACCCAAACAAAUAAGCCCAACAAGAAUAUCAUCAAUCCAAAAUCAUAAUAAGGUCUAAACUCAGUUAAAUAAACCCAAAACAAAUUCCAAUAUCAAAACCAAAACAGAAUAUCUACAAUCCUAAGUCUGAUACCUAUAAACAUAAACUCAAAUAAAAAACCACAAUAAAAAAUCAGAUUACACAAACGAUCAUUAUGGAAAUAAAAAAUGCACCUUACCUGAACUUAAAAAACCCAUGGCUAGAAAGUGGCAAGGGAUGAUGCGAUUGUGCAUGGUGAUACUGGGUUGUGUGUGGAAUGGUAGUGGAGGUAAGGAAAAGAAAAUGGGAUGAGAGAGAAAAGGAAAAAAAUUGGGGAAAUGAGAGAAAGAGAGAGAGAAUGGAGUGGUUGGUUGUGGCAUGUUGCCAGUGAGUGACUGGUAGUUAUCGGAACUACUGCUGACAAUGGUAAGGUGUGGUCCCGAUGGUGCUGGAUAGGUGGAAAUGGGUAUGGGGAAAAAAAAAAGAGUGGUUGUGAAAGGGAUGGAAGGGAGAAAUAAAUAUAUGAAUAAGUGGUCGUGAAUGGUUAUGGGUUAAUGGGGGAAAAUGAAAGAAAAGAUAUUUGAGAAAAGGAAGAAGGGGGGUAGAAAAAGUGGGUUGUAGGUUAGGGGCUGUAAGAAGUGGGUUGUAAAGCCGUUUUUUUUUUUUGGUGGUCUACACAAUGUCUAAUUGAAAUCAUGGAAAAAAAAAUCCUUGAGUAUAAAUAAACAGGAAGGAAAAAUGAAUCACUCCAUGAUUACCAAUUUUUAGUCUUGGUUUCUUAUAUGGAAAAAAAUCUCUAAAAAAAUAAUAAAUAAAUAAAAUAAAAAUAGGGGAUAUGUCUCUAAAAUGACCCAACUAGUAGUUUAGGAAAAUCCUUCUUCUCCGUAGUAGCACUUGGAGAGUCAAAUUCAACAUCAACAUAAAUAGUUUAAACAAUAGUUUAAUCAAUGAAGAGCUUAGUAGAGAAAAUGAAGUGUUGCAAUCAUGCUUGAGGAUUAGAUGAGCUAUUUCAUCAAUGUCUUCACUAUUGCCAUAUUAGGGAAUCUUUUCUUAAUAGAAAUGUUCAUUGUUAGUAACAAAAAAAAAAAAAAAAAAAAAAAGGUCCGUCCUAAUGGAACUACGAAAUCUCACUGAAGAAGGGAUCAUUAGUGCUACAACUUGACAAAAAGCAAAGGUAUACACUAUAAAAGGAAAAUCAAUAUUGCAACUUGUCAACAAGAUUGUAGAAUUUUGAGCAUAAAAUUUCCUUUGUGCUUCAUUCCCCCUAAAUAUUAGGCACAUGAUAAGAGAAGAGAUCUUGAUCCUAUCAAUCUUAAUAUUAUUUAGAAUAUAGUCAAAACAAAUAUCAAAUUAAAAUAAAUUAACUUAGUAGCACUAAUUUUUCAACUAUCCCAAAUUUUACUUGAUGUUUCAAACUAAUAAUACUGUUUGGGCUACACUUUCCUCCAAUAGUCAAACAACACUCCAAUGUAUUUUAGCUACCUACAAAUAGGAAUUGAUUUACAACCCAAUGACCCUCUUUGAUGGUAAAAUCAGUAAUCUCUUCCUAGCUUAUUUUUCAAGGAGAGUCUUAUUUAGAGAAGAGUAUGUGUACUUAUUUUCUCUCCCUAGGUUUCUUUAUAGGCCUUUUGUUUUCCCUUUAUGAUUGGGGUCUUUCAACAAAACCAACCUUAGCCAUCCACUUGCCCUAAUUGUUAUAAAGUAAGGGUUGGUGAGUUUAGCAUAUGUCGCAAUAGUUCUUUUCUUCCUUAAUGUCCAUCAAGGUAGUAGGAGUAAUUUUGAUCUGACAUCAGGCAUUGUUAUAUAGUAUGACUCACUCUAUCUUGUUGUCGUACUUGUUAGCACGUACUCAUCCAAACAUCAUGUUUGUCCCCUAUGUCUAUUAGGGUGCUAUGUUUUACUUGAGGGCUUUCCCGAUUAUACAUAGCUUUUAUAACUACUUUUAUCGUUUGACCUCAACUAUGUCUAAAGGUGGGAGCGAGCAAGAAAUCAAGUCGUAUGACAAGAAAUUUUAGCAUUCAAAAUCGGGAGUCUAAUAUGAUAACAACGUGUGGCAUGCUGAAUCAUGAGCCACCUUUUUUAAAGGUUUCACAUUUUUCGAAGUUGUCUUCUCUUCUUCCCAUGUCACUUCAAUCAUUUUAGGUAAGUGUGCCCCCUUCAUUUCUCAAUGCAACUAUUAUAGGUAUACAAGGCCAUUCUCUGUUCCAUUCUUCACUUUUGCCUACUAAGAUCCCUAUUGCCUCUAUGGUUCUUCCGUUUUCCUUGUUUUACUAUUACAAGCCUGAUGAUAUCAUGGGUUCCUCAUUGUCUAUAACAUCGAAAAGCCUUGCCGAAAAAGGCAUGCCAAUUUCUUAGGUCAGUAUUUCUUGAAAAUUUCUUUUAUUGUUAAGUGUCACUUUUAAUUUUCCAUCAGCUUGUAGUUAUGGGAAUCUCUAAGGAGGCCCCUUAAUUUAAAGGAGCUUAAGUUUCCCAUAGUUGGGAAAAGAGUGGAGUUAGGUUUUAUAACUUAUGCAAAAUAGACUAGCCAACUUUAAGGCCAAUAUUAACAUAUAACCUUGUAUGUUACACUAGUUUAGGGCUAAACUUAAUUAAGACUUUGCCACUCCUCAAUCAGAUGGAAAGGCAGGGUAGCAUAUCAACAAGUGAGAGGGCCUUCUAGUGCACAAUAGAUAAUCCACAAUAGAGGGGUUGCCCAUUAGCCAAUACGGAUUUUGAUUAGGUUAUCUAUUUUGAACAACAUGGGUGUUCAUUUAACUAGUGACUUCAUAGCUCAAUCCAUGGCUAGGGACUCUAUAAACACCAUUGUUAAAAAAAAUAGGUUAAUCCAACCUAUGGUAAUCACCUUAGAGGAGGGGGGAGGGGGGGAGGUGAAAAGGGUGAUGAUCUCUUUUUGCAAAUUUAAACUAUGUGAAUGUAAGAGACAAAUAUAUGCAAGUAUAUAAUAAAACAAUAUAAAGGCAAUUGCAUAUAAAGUAAAAGAGUAAGGAAAAGAGAAUGUAAACACAAGAUUUUAUAGUGGUUCAACGCAACCCGGUUUACAUACACUUUCCUCUAGCUUCAAUCCCAAGCUUGAGAUUUCACUGAUUCAAGGCUUCCAAACCAAGCCUUCAAGUAAUACAAUUAGAUUAUGGUUCCAAUCCACCUUCUUGAAUUUUUGGCUCCAAGCACCCUUUACAAUCCUCAAGAGAUACCCCACUCUUGAACAUCCUCUUAAGUGAUACCCCACACUUGAGAAUCUUACUCUCAAAGAUAUACAAAUAAUUGAUAUCACAAAAUCCUAAUACAAAAACUUUAAGUUCAAAUGAUACAAGAAAACUAGGAUUGAGAGGUGUACUAAUGAUAUGCAAGUUUUAGAAUAAUGAUGCACUCAAAACACUCUUCCAAGGCUCACAUAUAUUCAAGAAUGUUUGGAAAGGUUGAGCUCAUAAACAAUGAAGAUUUAGAGCCUUUUUAUAGAGGAAAAAAGUCAAACUAGCUGUUGGGGGUUCGACUGGUUGACUAGUCGUUAGCAUUUAAUGUUUGGAAGGUGAUUGUUGGACCUCAAUCGGACCUUGACCAGACCUUGACCGAUUGAGGUGUAGGUCGACCGAUUCCUUAUUUGGUUAAACAACCAUUCUGGAGGAGAGAGAAGGUUUUUUGCACCCUUCAAUUGGUUGAGCUGACGAUCGACUAGUUACUGUUCACACCCUUAACCAGUUGAACUGGGGGUCGACCUGCUUCUAGACCGAUUGAGCUGGUGAUUGACUGGUUCCUCAUCCGAUUCAACCGGUUGAGCCGUUUUUGGCUCAACAACUAACUUUUUCAACUUAUUAAAACCUUUUAAACAAGUUUGAAAAACAUUUGACACAAGGUUUUAGUUGAAAACAUGAAAUCAUCUAAUUUUAAAAUAUUUAAAACAAAAUAACUCUUUGAUGAUUUUGGUGCAUAAGUAAAGAAUGUAAUGCGUGAAAAUCCUAAUGCACCAACAACCUUACAAAGAAAUCUUAUGAAACUUGGGUCUUGAAAAACACUUCUCUUUGAGGUGGUCUUCUUCAUGAUUUCUCCUUGACUUGAUUUGUCUUUGUGAUUGCCACUUUGGAAAUCAUCUUGCUUAAUCAUACUUGAAAUAUAAUCAUUAGUUUUAAACCUUAUUUUGUUAUCAUCACAACCAAGAUUAAUCAAACCUUGGUUUCACGACCAUGUAUUUCACAAAGAAACAAUUUAAUGUCAAACUCUAAUUGUCAUUACCUUCACUAGUGCAAUAGUUUCAAUUCUAUUCCUACAUCUCUCAGUCUAUGUGCACCUGAACAUAAUAUGAAUCUUGAUGAGUUGCAACAUGCUAAACCACCUAUACCAACUUGGCCCUUUUAAGGUUUAGUCCAUAUAUAUAGUCAAACUAAACUAAAGUGACAAAUUCCUAUUUUUUAUGCACACUCACUCACUUCAAUUGAUAGUAGAAUUUCUUGAUUCUAGUAAGGGGUAGGCAAAGGAGAAUUUUAUUAUGUCUAGAUUCUAGGAGUGUUCAAAGGGAAAUCCUUAAGCAUAAUUUAAUCUAAAUCACACUCUAAACUUUCCAAGUACACCCUACACAUUUACUUUUGUGAUGUUUCUACCACUUCUAACUUUUAAUGUUGCCCAUUUGUGUUUUGUAGGUAAAAAGAAGUGGGAUCAACUAGUUGAGUAGUUAGAGAAAGCCUCUUGGGAACACCUAAGUUGUCUUUACAUUGCUAACUUAGUGUAGAGAAGACACUUUGUUGUUCUUCAAAAGUAAUUUAAGGGAAGUGUUGAUGUAACAUCCCCGAAUAUUUGAUUCUUAGGGAGCAUAUUUGACUUACUACUAUGAGGUUGCUUGAAUGAUGGAUGUUGAAACCCAACAAGCAUUGAUUUCUAAGUAAAAGAGAAAAGAAGGGUACCCCUUCAUCAGAUCCAUACUUAAAAGGUCAACUCUAGCCACCUAAAUUCACCUCGUUUACUUUUUGCAUCUUUUUCUUCUUUAGGUUCCACCUUUAAAUGCCUAAGAAUAGGCAGGAAUGGUGACACUAACAUUUUUGUACCCAAUGGGUUGAUAGUGCACUUAAAGUAGGCAAAAGAGAAAGAUGAUAUGUCUAUCAAUCUAUAUGUGGGUUUUUGCGAAAAGCUCAAGAAAAUAGUGGUUGAAGAGGGUUAACCCAGUUCUUAACAACCACUUGAAAAGAGAAAGAAAUCUAAGAAUGACUAGGCUUAGGUCUUGGACUCUAGGAGUAGAGAAACACCUAAGUCUCAUGGGAGAGGAGCUAGGAGCAUCGAAAGCUCCGACCCUUACCCUUUUUGUUGGGCUGGGUAAGACAAUGCAAGUGAACUCACUUCACUCUAUUUCCACCUCCAUCUUUGUUCCUUGAUUGAGGCCUUAGUUGAUUUACUCACCUAAAAUGGUCCAACCCCUACCAAAGAGAAGUUGGCUAUGAUUUUGGAUGAGUUUUCUUUCUUUAUUAGUGAUGACGUUCCUUUAUGAGGCUUAAAGGAUUUGUUUCUUCCUCAACAAAGUGUAUAGGUAAAGGUGUUUAACCACCCCAAGUUGAACUUUGUGGCCAAAAUCCCAAUUGGUACCCUCAUCCAAGUGGUGCAACUUGUUAUGGCAAUAAAGGGCCCAAAUUGACAAUGAUUAUAUCACUGAAGUAAUACUAUUCCUGCCCCCUAUACCUUAAUUUGAGCUAGCUUACUAUUAUGCACUAACAUCAUACAUACAUACAUACAUACAUAUAUAUAUAUAUAUAUAUCAUGAGCUAGAAGCGACUAAUUGCUUGAGGACCCAUGUGGCUCACUUAGUGAAAAUGCAUAAGAAGCUUGAAGUCGAGUUCAAGGCAACUUAAGGGCAAACUACUAAGCUACAAAGACAAAUGGACUCAACAUAUAGCGAAAAUCAUCCAAGCCCACGAUCAACUCCAAUUCAAAUGUGAUCAUCUCUGGAACAAGCACAAACUUCUCAUUUUUGAUUGAAAGAAGGUGGUUGAUGAGUGUAGUUGACUAAGUACGAUGCUUAUGUAAGCCAAGGUGGACCUUGACUCUUUAAGACAAGACUUGGUAGCAGACUUCCAAUGCUAAGUAAACAAUAUGUAUUUGUAUGGCUAUUGGCAAUACAUGAGAAGCACAAAAUAUUAGAAAAUGUGGAGUUGAAAGACAAUAGUCCUUCUACUGUUUAUAAUUUUUGCAAAAAAAACCGAUCAUAUAAGUUGUUCUUCUAUUUUCAGAAAGUCAUCCUAUGUUUCAUCUACUUCUAAAUUCGUGGUUUCCAAAGAAAAUAAAAACUAACCCUCAAGAACUUAAGAAGGUAUGGGUACUUAAAACAAUUUGAUUGUAUUGUAGGUACAAAUGAAAGACACAUAAUUUCUAAAUCGUGGAUACUUAAAGCAUAUGACCGGAGAUCCUUUUGCAAGUCUCAUAUUAAAGAAGAGUAUAUUUGUGACCUUUGGAGACAAUACAAAAGGAAAGGUCAAUAGACAUGGAAUUAUUGGUAAUGACACUUCUUCCUUGAUUGAAAUGUUCUAUUAGUUAAUGAUGUGAAGCAUUAUCUUUUAAGUAUUAGUCAACUUUGUGACGAGGGAUUUCAAGUGAUUUUUGAACCAUCUUAUUGCAUUAUCAAGGAUAUUCAAAAUGGUAAAACUAUUUUCAUGGGUCAUAGAAAUGAAAAAUGUUUAAAUAGUUGAUAUUAAAAAAUACAAUGGUCAUGAAAAAUGUUUUGCUUUCAUGCAUGAUCAAAGUUGAUUGUGAUAUAGAAGGUUGGGUCAUGCUAACAUGAACCUUAUUAGACAACUCAACAAAUAUGAACUUGUUAGAGGUCUUUCCAAAAUCAUUUUUGAAAAAAAUAAUAAUAUUUGUAAUGAAUGACAAAUGGGAAGGUAAUUUAAAGACUCUUUCAAAAGCAAAAAUAUUAAUAUCACAACUUCAAGACUUUUGGAACUUCUUCAUAUGGACCUAUUUGGUCCUUGGUCUUAAAGGAAAAUAUUAUGCUUAUAUAAUUGUAGAUGACUUCUCUAGAUUUUCUUGGCUUAUAUUUUUAGCCAUAAAAAUGAAGCUUCUUUAUAUUGUCCAUAUUUUAUACAAGGUUCAAAAUGAAAAAAAAAAAGGUUUUAUCAUUACUUGUAUUAGAAGUAAUCAUGGUUGAGAAUUUGAAAUUUUAUGAUUUUGAAACCUUUUGUAAUAAGCAUGGAAUUGAGCAUGAAUUUUCAUUACCUAGAACUCCUCAACAAAAUGGAGUAGUUGAAGGAAUGAAAUUUUACAAAAAAAAAAAAAUGGUAAAAACCAAUUUAAAUGAGAAUAAUUUACUGAAAUAUUUUUAGGUUGAGGUAGUUAACACCACAUAUUAUGUUCUAAAUAGAGUCUUAAUGUGGAUGAUUUUAAAGAAAUGAGCUUUGGAAAAACAAAAACCCUAACAUUGGUUACUUUAAAGUCUUUGGCAUAGUUGUAAAAUAUGUGCCUAGGCUCCAGGCAAUGUGACGCCAUGCUCCGAUGCCUCACCUAACUCUAGGUGCCACCUUUUUACGGAGGCACUGAUUAGGUACGCAAGACGCUUACCUCUAGCUAGGCGCAAAGCCCCACACAAGUGCAUUUUCUCUUUUAUUCUAUUUCUUCUUCUUCUUCGACACAACUAAGUUGUAGAGCAAUGAAGAGUUUAAGAUUUUUAUUUUGUUGUUGUCUCCAAAAUGAUGUCGUUUGGUACCUUGUUUUUUUUUUUUUUUUUUGUUCAAAACAAUGUUGUUUUGGACCUUGUUUUUGUAUUGCAGCCCCCAAACACAAGUUUUGAAAGCCAACAAAAAAAAAAAAAAAAACACCCUUAGCCUCUAACUUUUGUGAACUUGUAAAGAUUAAGAAGAAAAGAUGAUUAUAAUGAAGAAAAAAAAAAUAGAGGUACCUUUUUGGGCCCUUAGUGUACCUCACUUCACUAACACUCACACCUUAAGUGCACCUUGUACCUUAGGUUCUAAGAGGAAUUUGCGUCUUAGUAUGCCUUGAGCCUUAUAAAUGUGAUAUUUGAUUGUAAAUGCUUAAUUUAUACUUAAUGCAAAAGACCAUUUGAGAAAAUUUUACUUGAAAUCAUAUAUUGGGAUCUUUCUUGGUUACUCACUCUUUAAGUAAGGCUUGCAAAGUUCUUUUUUCAAAAUUAAUGUUGAUUUCAUGUUAUUAUACUUAGUCCAUUAAUAUCAUAUAACUUCUUAAUGUCAAUCCUUCAUUUCUUCUUACAUAUAAUGACAAUGCAUUUUAAAGAGAUUAUAUAAGAUAUAAAAAAAUAAAAAUAAAGAUAAAGUUGUACAAGUAAUGCAUUUAUACAAAAUAUUUUAUAUUUAAAGAAAGAUAAUUCACAAAAUGUAAAAUAUAGCAUUUUAAAAUUUAUAUAAACACCUUACAUGCAAUGAAAACAAAAGUUUUGUGUUAGUGAAAAAUUUUAUUUUAACCAUUUGAGUCAAAAUAAAAAAAAGAAAAAAGAUAGUAAAUUAGGUAUUUUAUAAUAAUUCAUAUAUUUAGGAUUUUGGUCUCAAUAUCAUAAUCACCACAAAAUAAUCAUUUUAAUGGUUAUUAUUAAAAUAUAAUUUUUAUAUAUUUAACAUCUGUUGGCAGAUCGGAGGGUUGGCUGCGUCCAUCAACUCCUUUUGUGUUUGCCGUGGGCGCUUGGGUGAAUGCACUAUAAGGUUAAGGUAUGCGCAUUUCCUAACAACAAUUGCUUUUAGGAGAGUUGGUAGCGUAUGAGGUCCUACAACAUCAAUAUAUAAAAAAUAUAUUCUAAGUUUAAUAAAAAAAAGCAUUAAAUAUGGGUAGAAUGAAUAAAAUCUUUUGUAAUAUCAUAAAUAAAUAUUUUAUACAUGUAAAAAAAAAAUAGUAUGAGAGGCUAAAAUGAAGAUAUUAAUUUUGCAAAUAUAAUGAUAUAAAUAUGAUGUAACUAGAAUAUAAUGAUUUUAAAAAUAGGGUGAAUGUAAUUCAAUAAUAGCUUAAUUGUAAUUAAAAAUAUUCUAAUUUUAAUAAGAAAAUGUUAAAUAUGAAUAGAAUGAUUAAAAAGACCUUAUUUGUUAAUUUAUUAAAAGGAAUGAAUAUGGGAAACAAAUUUUAGAAAAAUAAAAUACUUACUGUUAAAUAAUUAUUUUAAAAUUAAGAUGAUAAAACUAAUAAAAGGUGAAUGAAGUAUUUUUGCAAUAUAAAUAUAACAAAGCAUUUUGUAAAUGGCAAAAGAUAAAAUAAAAAGACAAAAAUGAAGCUAUAUAAGAUAAAAUGAUAUAAAAUCAAUCUAUAACUUAUUGAGGUAUUUUAAAUUAAUUAAUUAUAAAAUUAAUAUAUUAAUGAAUAUAAGUAAUAUAAGUUUUUUAAAAAAUUAUUUAUCAAAUUUAUGAAACCUCACAUAAAUUUGAUUAAAAGCCGAUUUGAAAGUGAUUUUGAUUAUAAUGAUGUUUAUGUUAGAAAUGCUUUCAUUAAUAUUUGGAUAUACCUAAAAAGUUGUCUUGAUAAUGUCUUUGGUAUGAUGUUAUAUAAACAAAGAGUUGUUUCUAGAAGAUCAUCUCUAAAAAGUUAGUAAACAUUUAAAUUUUGUAAGAACAACUUCUAACUUAGCUUUAAUUACUUCUAACCUUAACCAUUUUAAAUUGAUCAUUGAUUAUGGAAUGAAAAUCUUGAAAAAGAAAGGGUUAUUUGGUUAAGAUGGUUGAAAUAAGGGAGAUUAUAAAUGUAUCCACCAAAACUCUAUUUGUAUUGAUUCGUUUAAUAAAAAUUUUGAGAUAUAAAUGUCUUCUAUUGAAAUCCAUAAAAAUUUAACUUAUAUCAUAGCUAUGUUGGAUCCUAUACUUCUAAACGCUAUUAAGAAUGUUCAAUCGUAUACUUCUAGACACUCUUAAGGAUGUUUGACUCUAUAGUUCUAGAUAUUUCAACUAUGCCUAGCCUUCUAGGAUCAGACACCAUAGGUUCCAUUUUUUUUCCUCCAUUUAUCUUGCAAUUUUUUACGAUUUCUCACUUCUAAAUCACAUUUAUAUUCUUUCUAAUUGUUUUUCAACCACUUUUAUAAUAAGUUUUUUUUUUGGGUAAAAAAUUAGACAUAAAUAAGCCUUAAAAGAUUUCUAUAUUCUAUGUUAUUUAUAGUUACUGUUUGUGGUUGAGAAGAAAUAGGUUGAGAGAAAAAGAAGAAGAACAAGAAAAGUCUAGGGAGUGAAUAAUGGAAAAGUGUUUUAGAUGGAUGUGUAAAUAUGUCAAAUGCAAAGAAGCUUUUAGCAUAUAUAUUGAUAAUUUUCCGUGAAAUAAUGCCUAUAUUUGAAAAACUUUUUCAUUUUAAAACAUUAAAGAUGACCCUUGUGAGAAAGAACAAAAACAUAUUACACAACCAUGUUUUGAAGGGAGAAGGAUUACAAUAUGAGUGAGAGUGUUUUUUAAAAUAGGUUUUUUUAUAUAUAUAUUUUUUUGAAAACAAAAUUUUGUUUGAAAACUUAAAAUGUUUUUAACUUAUUUACUAUAGCUAUGUAAUGUUUUAUUUUCAAUAAUUAUUUUUUAAAAUAACCUUACAAAACAAAUAAAAACAAUAAAAAAUAAAUAAAAACAACCUACAAUAAAUAAAAUCGUGUUCAAGGAAAUAUUUUAUUUUUAGAAUGGUUUUUUAAAACUUGUUUUGAGAAAGAUUUGUAGUCAUUUUUCCAUAUUAAUAAAAAAAAAGAAGUUAUUUGAUUAAAAAAGUCAUUAAAACCUAAUUUUGGAAAUCUAACUCUUCAUUUUUUUUUUGUCAUAUUUUGACAAAAAUAUCCUUAUUUUUAUUAUAAAAAUAAUUAUUAUUUUUAAAACUUAUAUGUAAAUAGUUGAAAUAAUCAUAUACAUUUAUAUGAAAAAUGAGUUACUUAAAAAAAAAAAGAUAUAUAGGAAUAUUCACUAUACGAGAGUAUUCCAUCCCAUUUAACUAAUGAGUUACUCGAUUAAAAGGGUAAUUGAAAAUCCAAAUUUUGAAAAUCUAACUCUUCAUCUCUUUUUGUCUCAUUUUGAUAAAAAUAUCCUCCUUUUUUUCGUACAAAUAAUCAUUUCUUUUAAAACAUAUUAUAAACACAUGAAAUUAAGGGUAUUUUUGUUUAUUCUUUAUUUCAUCCUUUUAAUCAAUUAUUUAUUAUUUCUUAAAAAUUGGGCCGGCCAGGCGCAAACCAUCAUCACUUCAUGAGUCCCGAUCUCCGUUUAGAGUUACACAAAAGCAUUCAAUCAUUUCUUCUCCAAACUCCGCGUUUCAACCGAUCUGAGGUCUAGGUAUCGCUCCAAUCUCUAUUACAAUUCAAUCAAUCGACUUCUAUAUUAGAUGCAACAGUUUGGAUCCUGAGAAAAUGACAAGAAAAUGAAAAAAAAUUUUGAACUUGAAGAUUUUUCUCAUCAAGGCUCGAGAAUGGCAUAGGAAUCAAAAUGUGGUUUUCUUUUAUUUUUCUUCAUUGUCAUGGUAACCGCACAGAGGGUCAGAUUUCACUCUGAGUGGUUUAUAACUCGGAAAUUUUGAAUUCUAGAAUCUAGGUUUCUCUUCGAUCAACUGCGGAACUAUUGUCAGUUUGGAUUACAACUCAAACUGAAUUUUUUGUUAGCCUUAUUUGAUAUUUGGGAAUGUUUUCUAGUAUGAAGAUUUAGUUUAGAUGUGGAGAAAAUUUGAGAAAAUUAAUUAAAAUUUUGAAUUGCAGAAUUUUCACUAGCAAUGAGUUGGGAAUACAGAAAAAUGCCAUUUUAGUUGCAAUUGACAAUGUCUGUUUGAUUUAGUUGAUCGGAGGGGUUUCGACUUCUCCUCUCUCUCUUUCUCUGUCUCCCUCUAAGAUGAUAGAUAACAUAUGUUUUCUUUUUUAUUGCUCUAUUUUCUUGGAAACCAGACAGAUAGCUAGGAUUUCUCUUUGAAUGCUUUUAUUGAUGAACAUUUUUAAUUCUAGGAUUUCAUUUUCGACUACAGCUCAAGGACGAUUUUUUGUAAAAUUAACUUACUAACAUUGUUUUAUACAAUUAUAUAUAAAAGGAAGAUUUGGCUUGCCCUACUUCACUAAUUUUCCAAUGAAAAGAUAAAUGGUACCUACCAUGCUGUCAAUGAAUCCCACUGUAAAUCGAAGCUUGUGAAAUAGAAGGAAAAGCAACAACAAAAAAAAAAAAAAAAAAAAAAAAAAGAAAGUAUAGACUAUUAUCUUGAAAGAAGAAAAGGAAGAAUUUUAAAAUGCAAAAUAAGUAAAAUGCAUUUACUUUUAUCAAUUAUGACCAAUAAAUAAUAAAAAGGUGAAUAUAUUAUGAUUGUUACAGUCAAAUAAUAAAGAUGUGGAAUACGAGGGGAAAUAAGUGAUAUAGUAGGGAUACUUUGGGAAAAAAUUUUUACAAACUCCUCAUGCGUUUAUAUAUGAUAUAGAUAUAGAUUAUUAUGGAGCCAGAGGUACAACUAGAAAGAACUGGAAUAGGAAAUUUUUGUAAUGUAUGGUAAUCUUUCUGUUAUUCAAAUUGCGAUCAGCCCUUGGUACUUAGUGUGUAUAGAAUUAAACUGUUUACAUUUGUUUUCAAUGGAAAUUUAAAAUAAGUGUAUUGCAUUGUUGUUCUAGCCAAGCACCUCUACAAAAAAGAUGUGGUUUCGCCUUCCACUUCAUGUUACAUCUUAGAUGCCUCUCAAUAUACAAUAGCGAACCAUAUUCAGCUUAGCAUUACCUUUGCAUUGUUGUUUAUUUCUCAAGUAACUUUCUUUUGAGGAAUCUGUAUUUUAGCAGUUCUUUGCUUAAUCACUUCUUUAAUUUGUUUAUUUGGUUCUAAACUUUGUAGUUUAAUGGUUGUAGUUUUCUCUAUUGCAAACAAUAAACAUCUAGCUUUAUAUGAUCCAUCACAGCCUCUGGUUCAUUAGACUGGGGUUCAUCUCUUUACUCCUGUUAGUUACUGUUUAUAGAAGAUUUUACUUUUUUGAAAUUCUGUACAGAGUGAUCAUUUUUGUUUUGAUACAUAUAAUGGCAAUGGUGCAGUUCAUGCCUUAGUUACUUUAUCUUUUUAUCAUAUUUCUCACAAUCAUAAGGCAUCUUCUAUGAUAUUGCAGAUAUUACUUUCAGUGGGAAAAUGAAUUUUUUGAUGCGACCUUCGCAUACUGCACAUGCAGAUGAGCCACCUGUUCAUGAAAUUUCUAAGGGCACACAACAUGUGACAAAACCUACAGCAACUUUGGAGGGUCUUAUAGCUGAAGAUUCAUUUCCAAAUUAUUUUGUGGAUGAAAUUCAUGGUGAAGUUGGAGGUGAAAAUGGCAGUGUUGCAGGUCUAAGUUCAAAAAGUGACUCUCCUGACCUGGUGAACCUCUCAGAUGUUACAGAAGAAGAAGGAUGGAUAAUUAUCCCACAAAGUAUUCCUUUGCCUUUUUAGCUACCUAGUUUAUAUUGAUUUAUCAAGCAAUAUGCAUUUCCACCUACACAAACACAUAUUCAUGCAUGGGUAUACUCACAUACAUUUAUCUGCAUCAGGACCUGUUUUGACAAGGUGUAGCUUGGCUUAUAAGCAGGCAAAGAUUAUUUAUUAUACUAACUACUUGAACCUACUGUUUCCACCUUCUUGUUCUCAUCAAAUUUGCACUUCAACCAUAAACAGAAGUCUUCCUUGCUGUCAUAGUUUUAAAAAGCAUGCCUAGGUAUGGGACAAUGUGACGUGGGGCUUGUGCCUCGCUUGUGGUCAGACCCAACCCAUUUGAAGAGGGGCAGCUUAGGUGCAAAAGGUACGCACGCUGAGCCAGGCGCAAGGCUCUCUUAAGGGACACCUGUGCUGUCCCUUUUUUUUUUUUUCUCCUGGCUAAAAAACGACGUCAUUUUGGACUGUUUCUUAGGCCGAGGAGAGAAGAUGGAAGAUGAGUAGUGGAGAAGAAGAAACAAGGGAAAGAGAGAAGGGUGUCCAAUACCUGGUGGCUGCUGGCAAUUCUUGGAGAGGGCUCAUUUUUCUUUUUUCCUCCCAUGCAUAGAAUACUCAUAACCCACUGGUAUUUAUGAAUUUAUAUCUAUAUAUUUAUAUUUUAUUUAUUUGUUUAUUUAAUUUAUUUUUAUGAUAAAGCGAUAAUUAGAUACUGAAGAUCUAUAAUUUGAAAAUUGAAAUACUUAUUUAUCUACUUUUUUUAUUUUUUAUUUUUAAAUUGAAUAUAUUGUGAAUUAUUUUGAUUUAUUUAUUAUUCAUUUACUAAGAUAGUUAUAUGAUGAAAGUUUUAAAAUUUUGAAACUUCUUAUUAUUUUGCAUGCUUUUUCUUUUUUAAAAUUAAUUGAAUUAUGUAGUAUUUCUAUUUUAUAUAAUAUUUUAUUUAUUUAUUUAUCCAUCUAUUUAUUUAUAAUGAUAACUAAAGCUACUAAACUAUUUAUCCAUUUCUUUUGAAUAUAUAUUCCUAUAUUAUAUAAAAUUGUACAUGUGACUAGGGAUGCACCUCAAGCUCGUGUCUUGGGUUGUGCCUUGUGCCUAAGCUCCAAGAUAACAUUGUGCCUUAAGUGCGCCUUCACCUUUUAAAACUAUGCUUGUUGUCCCUACUAUAUGCAAUUACUAUCUACUACAUUAUAAGAUCUAGUUUUUUGAAAUUGAGGGGAAGUCUUAAAGAAUUUAUGGUGUGUCCACUCAUCUUUUGUUUCCUUUGAGCAUAGUAAUUUUUUCUCAUUAGAAACAAACUAAUUUAUUGAUAUGAAUUGAUAAAUUCAACAAAAGACAAGAAGUCCUUCCAAAGUAUAUAAAGGUUGGUCAAGGAAUGUAAAAGGUAAAUAGAAUGCUCAGAAGGGCUAAUAAAACAAGUUGGACAAUUGAAAGGCAUAACAAAAACUUGUACGAGCAAAAAAAACUCUUACAUAACUUAGGAGAUAAAAAUUCAUCCCCCCCCAAAAAAAGAAAAGAAAUUGUUGUUUGGCUUAUUGAUUUGCAAUGUGUUUAGGUAACUGUGGAUCCUAGGAGAAAGAGCACCCUAAGUGACUAAUGACAUCUAUAAUGAAGCCAUUCAUUAUACUUUCAUGAACUUCUAUCUCAAUAGCCAAGUCUACCUUUUUCAAUUGUUUGUAGAGACUUAAAGCGUUAACUUAUAGCAACUCCCUUUAAAAGUGCUAAAAUAUUUGCCUCAAUGACCAAACCUUUCCUUGCUGGUUUAGGAAAGGCUCUUAACAUGGUUUCAUAUCUGAAUGCACCUUCAAUCCUUAGACCACCAUGAUUACCUAAAAAACAUCUUCAGAAUUAACUUAAGAGAAUUAGAGGUGGAUUUAGAUUUGUUGCAACUCCAGUUCCAAUUCCUUGGACAUAUAAAUCGGGAAGUUGCAAAAGGCACAAAGGAAUGCUAACAAAAGCUGCUAAGGUGUAAGCUAAUAGAAAAGCAUAGAAAAAUACCACAUCUGAAGUAGUGUCUGCAGACCACCAUUUAUUGUAGAAAAUUGUGAUAUUCUUUGCUCUCUACAUUAUCUGAAUUUAGUAAGGCUAGCCUUACUUCAAAAUAGCUUAGCUUUAAGAGAUGCACAAAACUUGUAGAGAAGAUGAUCUUAUCUAUCAUGCUUCUUGGAGAAAAUAGUUUCUUAGAAAAUUUGAACAAUGCAUGCCAAAACCUUAAAGCCACCAGAAGUUCACAUGGCCUCCUUACUUGUAGCAUAUUACUGCCUUCUUAUUGACCAAAAUCCAUGCAAAGGUCUUUGUCAUGGAUGAAGCUUUAAAUUUUCAAAUGAGAUUGGCUAGAUUCAUGAACAAUGAAAGAGUUAAAGAGAAAGACCUUAGUUACAUAAAAUAACCUAAGGAACUCAAGGAUCAUGGCUUGAGGUCCCGGGAAUGGGCCUGCUUGGAUGGUAAAUUGAAUGGGUCGUCCUCACAUGGUCCAACUUUGGGCCUUAAAGAGCAGGAGAAGGAGGGUGGGCUGGCUAAGAGAGAUGGGUCUUUGGGCCAAAAAUUAAAGGAUAAAUUAAAGGUGGCUGGUGUGCCAGAGGCAGGCCCAUCGUCUAGCAAUUGGGCUGCUGGACUGGGCUGCCAUUCUUCUGCUGCGAUGGAAGGAUUGGAAAGGGAGGGCCCUAAUGCUAACCAGGAGAAGGCUGUGUUAUUGGGCUGCUUAUCUUCCAGAAAAAGACCCACUCCAGAGGAUGUCUUGACGUGCUGGGUGCCAGAGGAGAUCAGUAGGGAACAGAGGGUUGAUGGUUUCUCCACGACUGACAGUGCGCUUCAAGAAGAAGCUAAGAGGUAUGCCCUGCAUUUCUAUCCUAAAGGAAAUCAGGUUAUGGGGACGUCUCUUCUUCUCUCUUCUAAUUUUGAUCGGGCUACGGAGGGGGAGUCUUUCGAUCGUCCAGGGGAAGUAGAGGAGGAAUUAUGGGGGGACAAAUCAACUUGGCUAACAGUCUAUGAGGGGAAUGACGAGACUGUGAAUGAAUCCUGGAAGUUGGGAGAGGCUAACAAAAACAGAGACAAGGUUAGGGGUAAGGAGGGAAAUGAUGGUGUCUCAGGGAUUCAAGUCAUUGAAAAUGAGAAAGGGUAAUUAUGGGAGGAGUGUAGCUUGGCGAAAUUUAGCCAAUUUCUGGGUUUCUCUACGGAGGGUAUAGAAAAGGAGAUAUUGAAUUUCCUGACUAAAAUCAGGAAAAGGAGGGAAAAGAUUCACAGCAAAGAACUCUUGGAGAAGACCAAAUUUGAAAGGGAACUAAAGAGGCUGGAAUGCUCUGUCAAUUAUGAGAGAGGGAAUAAGCAGAAAGCUCUCUCACAGGGCAAAGGGAACCAAUUGAUAGUUGUCCAAUGAAGCUGAAGAUUAUAAGUUGGAAUGUGAGGGGAGCUAAUGAUAGCUCUAAGAGGAAAAUUAUUAAGAACUAUAUCAGGAGCCAGAGGGUGGAUCUAAUGUGUAUUCAGGAAACCAAGAUUCAGGAGAUGUCGGAGGGUAUAGUGAGAAGCCUGGGCACUGGGAGAUUUUUAGACUGGAGAGCUCUAAAUGCGGAGGGGGCUGCGGGUGGCAUCCUGAUAUGCUGGGACAAGAGGGUCUUGGAUAUCUUGGACUGGGAGGAGGGUCACUUCACUUUGUCUUGUAGAUUCAAGACUAUAGAAAAUGGGGUUACUUGGGUUUUCACGGGAGUGUAUGGGCCCUUUACUAAAAUGGAAAGGGAGGGUAUGUGGGAGGAAUUGGGGGCGGUCAGAGGGCUUUGGGACGAUCCCUGGUGUCUUGGUGGGGAUUUCAAUAUCAUUCUGUUCCAACAAGAAAGGAGUAGCCAAAGAAGAAUCACCACAGCUAUGAGGAGAUUUGCAGAGACUAUGGAUGAGUUAGAGCUGGUGGACAUGCCUCUUCAGGGGGGAGAAUUCACCUGGAAUGGGGGGCUCAACAAUCAGGUAUGGGCGAGACUAGACAGAUUUUUAGUUUCCCCUACCUGGCUUGAGAUGUUUAAUGGUGCCACUCAGAUCAGAUUGUCUCGGCCAAUCUCAGAUCACUUCCCAAUCGUGUUAGAGGGGGGUGGAAUUAGAAGAGGUCCAACCCCGUUUAGAUUCGAAAAUAUGUGGCUGAAGGUUGAGGGGUUUCAAGAUGUUGUGAGAACAUGGUGGCAGGGGAUUGAUGUCAGGGGUAGCGCUAGCUACAGAUUGGCUAUUAAAAUGAAGGAAAUUAAGAAGAGGUUGAAAGUUUGGAACAAAGAGGUUUUUGGGAGGUUGGAAACCAAUAAAGCCUCAGCCCUAGAACAAGUAGCCUUUUGGGAUCGGGUGGCAAGUGAAAGAACUUUGACUGUGGAGGAGGCUAAGCUAAAAAAGGGAGCUAAGGACUCCUUGAAGAAAUGGGUCCUGUUGGAGGAAGCACAUUGGAGACAGCACUCAAGGGAGAUUUGGCUAAGGGAGGGGGAUAGAAAUACGGGGUUCUUUCAUAGAAUGGCGAGUGCUCAUCGAAGAAACAAUGUUAUGGGCAGAAUUAAGGUUAAUGGGGAGUGGCUGGUAGAGGAGCAGGAGGUGAAAGAAGGCAUUGUGAAUUCGUUUCAGCAGUUGCUUACUGAAGAUAUGGUUUGGCAGGCUGAUAUUGGCAAUAUUCAGGUGGGUUGUAUCAGCCAGCAAGAUGCAGAGAGUCUAGAAGUCCCUUUUGCAGAAACUGAGAUUCACUUGGCGAUGAUGGAGAUGAAUGGGGACAAAGCCCCUGGCCCGGAUGGGUUUACUGUAGCAUUCUGGCAAAAUGCAUGGGACUUUGCCAAAGAGGAGAUCAUGGAGAUGUUUAAAGAAUUUCAUGAGCAUAAUACCUUUGUUAGGAGCCUCAAUAAUACUUUUCUGGUGUUGAUACCUAAGAAAAGCGGGGCGGAGGAUUUGGGAGACUUUAGACCUAUCAGCCUGUUGGGGGGCCUAUAUAAACUUUUGGCUAAAGUCUUAGCUAACAGGCUCAAAAGAGUGAUUGGUAAGGUGGUCUCUAGUGCUCAAAAUGCCUUUGUAAUGGGGAGGCAAAUUCUGGAUGCGUCCUUAUUUGCUAAUGAGGUGAUAGACUCGUGGCAGAAGAGAAAAGAAAAGGGCCUUAUCUGCAAAUUGGAUAUAGAAAAAGCUUAUGACAGCAUUAAUUGGAAGUUCUUAAUGAAGGUCCUCCAAAAAAUGGGCUUUGGGAACAAGUGGGUGGGAUGGAUGUGGAGCUGUGUAUCUUCUGCGAAAUUCUCUAUUCUUGUUAAUGGAGUGCCAGCUGGGUUUUUCCCUAGCACUAGAGGGCUUCGUCAAGGGGACCCUCUAUCCCCUUACCUCUUUGUUAUGGGAAUGGAGAUUCUGGACGUUCUCAUUAGGAGAGCAGUGAAGGGGGGAUAUUUUUCAGGAUGCAACAUUCGGGGCGGUAGUAGAACUUCAUUGCAUAUCUCCCACUUAUUUUUUGCUGAUGACACGAUUGUGUUUUGUGAGGCAAGCAAAGAUCAAGUCUCUCAUCUAAGCUGGAUUCUCUUUUGGUUUGAAGCAGCCUCGGGUCUUCGUAUGAACCUAGCCAAAAGCGAAAUCAUUCCAGUUGGAGAAGUGGAGGAGAUUCUGGAGUUGGCUGCUAAGUUAGGGUGCAGGGUGAGGUCUCUACCCUCCCAUUAUUUGGGUCUCCCUUUAGGGGUCCCCAAUAGGGUUUCUUCUAUGUGGGAUGGAGUGGAAGAGAGGGUCAGGAGGAGACUUGCGCUUUGGAAAAGACAGUACAUUUCCAAAGGGGGGUGGAUCACUCUUAUAAAAAGUGCCUUGGCCAGUAUGCCAAUUUACCAAAUGUCUAUCUUCCGUAUGCCUAAGUCCGUUGCUAAAAGAGUGGAGAAAAUCCAAAGAGAUUUCCUUUGGGGGGGUGGAAAUUUGGGAGGAAAAAUUCAUCUAGUAAAAUGGGAUGUGGUCUGCACAGAAAAACGCAAUGGAGGGCUAGGAUUAAGGAGAAUAGCCACUCUGAAUAGAGCCUUGUUGGGCAAGUGGACUUGGAGGUUUGCGUGUGAAAGGGAUAACCUUUGGAAACAAGUGAUUUCUACGAAAUAUGGGCAAGAGGAUUAUGGGUGGAGGGCUAAGAAGGUUAGUGGGGCGGCUGGAGUUGGGGUCUGGAAGGAGAUUAUGAAAGAAUCUGAAUGGUGCUGGGAAAAUUUGGCUUUUCUAGUUGGGAAGGGCUCCAAAAUUAAAUUCUGGAAAGACAGCUGGUGCACUGAUACUCCGUUGUCCCAAUGUUUCAACCAUCUUUUUGUCCUUGCCGUGCAUAGAGAUGCUUCGAUUGAGGAGAUGUGGGACCACCAUUCGGGCCAAGGAGAUUGGAAUCUGGUUUUUGUGAGGGACUUCAAUGAUUGGGAGCUGGAUAUGGUUGGUGAUUUGCUCCGUACUUUGAGGGGUCAUAGGCCUUCCCUGGAGGAUGACUCAGUUAAAUGGAGGCAAGGAAGAGAUGGUCUCUUCAGGGUUAAAGAAGCUUACAGGAUGUUGGAUAAACCUAAUGCCACAUUGUUUCCCGCAAGGGGAAUAUGGGUGGAUAGGGUACCAACUAAAGUCUGUUUUUUUGCUUGGGAGGCUACUUGGGGGAAGGUGCUCACUCUGGAUAGGCUUCAGAUAAGAGGGGUGCAACUCCCAAAUUGUUGCUUUUCGUGUGGUUGUGAAGAAGAGAAUGUAAAUCAUAUUCUUUUACACUGUAUAGUGACUAGAGCCCUUUGGGAUAUUAUUUUUGGGUUGUUAGAUAUUAAGUGGGUCCUCCCAGAAACAGUUAAGGAGGCUUUAACCUCCUGGAGGGGUUCAUUUGUUGGAAAGAAAAGGAAACAGAUAUGGAAAUCCAUUCCGUUGUGUAUUUUUUGGACGGUCUGGAAGGAGAGGAAUAGGUUAGCCUUUAGGGGGGGUGUGGUGAAUGUUCAAAGGUUAAAGAAUUCUUUUGUUUGUAACUUAUGGAAUUGGGCCAAAGUGUAUUUAGGUGAGGAGGCUUUCUCCCUUAUAGGUUUCUUAGAGUGGAUAGCUUCCACUUGAGGGGAGGUAGUUCUUUUUGGUCCUUUUCCUUUUUUGAGGCUGUAGUCAUCUUGUAUACUCCCUGUAUGCUUUGUGGCGUUUAGCCUUUUUUAAUGCAAUCUUGUUUACUUAUCAAAAAAAAAAAAAAAGAUGGAAAAAAGUAUACAUGGAUUGAAGACAAAAUGAGAAGUUCAAGGCCUCUAUUUUUGGAUAAAAAAUGUUGCAGUAGAAAUUAACAUUCCAAGACACAAGAAAAAGGAGAUUCAAAUAGGAGACUCUCUUGUUUUCACUAGUAAAAGAAAUGCAAUAAAGAAAAAAAAAAAGGGGGGGGUGGGGGGUGGGGUGGGGAGAAAGAAAGAAAAGAAAAAAGGUUGAGUGUCUUGUUUUCAUUACUUUGAAAAGAAUUGGAAAUUGAAUAUGGAAGAAUGAUCAAAUUUUGGAAAGAUCGAUGUGGUGGUGACUCCUCUUUGGAAGAAUCUUUCCCAUCUUUGUUCUCAGACAAAGAUCUCUAGGUAGUGGAUAUGUGGGAGUAAUAUGGGGAAAGUGUUUGGUGGAGCCCUUGCUUUUCUAGACAGUUUCAUUAAAGGUGUGAAUGGCUUUUUACAUAACUACAAGCUUGCUUAGUUAGGAGAAAGGAGGAUCAUACUUUGGAGUGGAGGGAUUCCAAGGGUGGCAAGUUCUUUGUCAAAUCCUUCUACCUUUCACUGCUCUAGGGAAGUAGAAAGCCUUUCCCUGUAAGUUGUGUUUGGAAUCCUUGGAUCCCAUUGAAUGUGUUUUUUUUUUUUUGCUGGCAGAAUUUCGACUGUCAAUCAACUUAAAAGGAGGGGAUGAAGUAUGCUGAACAGGUGUUAUAUGUGCAAAAUGAAUGAAGAAACAACUAAUCAUUUGCUCCUUCACUGUCCUAUCACAGGUGUCUUAUGGCAGUUAAUCUUCUCUUUGUUUGGAGUGGUUUGGGUGAUGCAUUCAACAGUUAGAGGAACCUCUAUUAAGCUGACAUGGUUCCUUUGUGGGUAAGAAGUGGAAAAAAGCUUUGAGGGCCACUCCUAUGUGUUUGUUCUGGAUGUUGUGGAAGGAAAUAGAAGAGUCUUUGAAGAUUCGAAGCUAACAAAACAAACGAUGAAACUCUCUUUUAUGAAUACAUUUUUAGAAUGGGUUAGAUUGUAGAUGAUUUUUCCAUGACCAUGACAGGUUUUUUAGAUUAGAUUAGCUCAAAGUAAGGAGAAGGGGUGAGGGGUCUUUCUUUUGUUCCUUUCCUCUUAUGUUUGCUUGAUUUUAGGUGACUUAUGUACGCUUUCCGUGUACUUGGUUACGCCUUUGAUUCAAACGCUUCUCUUACGUCUUUAUAUAUAUUCUUUUGAAUUGCCUAUAAAAAAAUGAGCCAUCAAAGGUCUUCUCAAAAAUGAAUCUUCAAUAUCAUUAUCCAUAAUAAAAAUAUGCGUGAAACGAAAAAUCAAAGAAAAUUUGGAUGAUAGUCGUCCGAAGGCAAUGGUGCAACCACCUGAGCACAUUGUUCUCAUUAUUGGAAUGUGAUUUCUAGAUACUUAAAAUGGCCUCAUGCAUAAAGCAUUACUCUCAUUGGGAAACCUCCAUGCCCACUACCUUAAAAAGGUUUCAUUCCUCAAAGAAAUCUUUUGUAAACCAAUACCUGAUUCUCUUAGACUUAAAUACCUAGUUCCCAUUAAGGAGGUGGUCUUUCCUUUUAUCCCACACCCUUAUCGAGAAAACGCAUUUGCAAUUUCUCAAUUCUUUACAAGUCAUUUUGAUUAAAAUCUGUAACAUAAGAAUGAAGUAAAUGGAAAUAUGAGACAAACAAGAUCGCAUAAGGGCUAUUCAUUGCUAAAGGACAAGUAAGCUUUCUUUCAACCAUCAGGUCUCUAAGAAAUCUUGUCUACUACUGAAUCCUAAAAUGAAGCAACUUUGUCAUUCCUUCUCAAGAGGAGACCCACGUAUUUGUGGCCUUAUAUUCCAACAAUCAAAUAAUUUGGUUUUGGAUAAUAUUGUACCUUGACAAUAGGCUCUUAUCUAGACUUAUCUUAAGACGUGAUAUUUGCCUGAAAACCAUCAAAAUGAGCUUAAGAUUUGGUAAUUUCUUACCUAGUUUCUGAAAGAAUAUGGUUUUGCUUGUGAAUUAUAGGUGAGACACCCUAGUUCUAGUUUUUCCCAUUUGAAACAUUAGUUUGCUGAAACAUCAGCCACAGUGGUAGAAAGGAUACAUGAAAGGGGAACACCUUAUUUUAAUCUUCUUAUUCGCCUUAUGUAUUGUCUCCAUAUUGAACUAAAACCUUUUCUUUCUAAAGCAUGGUUUAGAACAUCCAAUCCUCAUUAUCAUGUAAACCUUUUCAAAACCAAUCUUGAAAACAAUUCUCUCUUCUCUAGAUUGUCUUUUCUAUGAUUUCAUUAGCCACCAAAAUCUAUUUCCUUAAUAAAAGUUCACUUGGAGAGAUGAAUGGUUUUAUGCAAGUCUUCUUAAAUGUGAUGAGACAAAAACUUGACUAUAAUCUUGUAAGUGCUUGCCACUUAAAUGAUGUGUCCAAAAUCUGAAAUUCUAUUAAUAAAGUGUAUAAUAUAAAGAACACACCAAAAAGAGUGGACCAAAUCACAUAGGACAUAUACAAUGGUCAUCAAAAGGCACAAAAAAAAAACAAGAGGGACUACAAAACCUACUCCCUCCCUCAGUGAGAACCCAAUCAAUUAGUAAAUUUAAUUUAGAAUGAACCUUUCAUCCAUGUACAACUUUGCCUACAACAAAAGAUUGCAAAGAAAAGUGUUUUUUCAAUCUUUGAUCAGAAUGUUCCUCAUUUUAAAAUGAGCUC